RNAcentral lists this long non-coding RNA (46404 nucleotides) under Gossypium barbadense (sea-island cotton). RNAcentral's name for it is "long non-coding RNA (GBAR_LNC020324)". The record is from RNAcentral. Lineage: Eukaryota; Viridiplantae; Streptophyta; Magnoliopsida; Malvales; Malvaceae.
GGAAUUUGAAAUGGUAUCAGGCUGCUUUGGAGGGUUCAAAGUGGCAGUGUAUGUGGCUGUUAUAAUUAGCACUGUGACUACUAAAAAUGUGUUACGCGUCUCAUGUGGGAUUCCCUUCUUUCCACGACUUGCUAUUGUUGCAAUUUUUUGAAGAACUGACACCUUUCCUUUUAAAGAUUCGAUGGGGAUUGAAGAGAUGGAGGCUUUGGGAAGCGAGGAAGAGGAACCACGCAAACCUCCUGCUUUGCUUAUCAUAUCUUUAAUGGACUCCUUAUAGUCCACUCUCCCUUCAUCCAAUGGGUAUUGUGAUGGGAUAUCAAGUGCAGUCAAUCCCUCCGCAUUUUUGGCAUUGAUAUGGUCUCCACACAAGCGUUUCAGCAGUACUUUUACCACCUGUUAAUUAGAAUAUUCAUACAAGUAACCUUUGAGUAUAUAUAUACAUAAAUAAUUUUACUAGCAAAAUUAUCAUACCUGAGGUCUGUUUCUGAUAGUAGCAACAUGUAAAACAGUGUUGCCAUCAAUGUCUGCCCAACUCAGUAGUUCUUUCUCCCAACGGUUGGCAGCUUUAUGGCGGCUCCUUAUAAGCCACCCCACCAAGACUUGGAAAGCUUCAAACCUGUCAUUUUUUACGGCAAGAUGGAAAACCGUCUCAUCUCGAACAGUCACAUCUUCAAUAGCCUCGGGGCAAACCUCAAGGAACUUGAUCAAAAAAUCAACAUUUCCAUUUUGAACCACAUGAUGCAAAGGAGUGAAGCCCUCCCGCCCUUUGACACGAACAAGGCCUUCAUCAAACCUGAGGAGUCGAAGCACUGCUAGAGUUUUUUGAUUUUGCAGAGCCAAGUGCAUGGGGCUAAACCCAGCUUGGUUUAGCUUUCUUGCAAACGAUGGCUUUAAGUUGAUCAUCUCCAUCAUAAAAUCAAUAUGCCCUGCAGAAGCUGCUACAUGCAAAGGAGUAUGGAAAAAAGGUACAUCAUCGAUACGCUGUAAAACAUAUGGAUCAUUCAGAAUUAACUCAUACAAGAUGUUUAUGUCUCCUGUUUGUGCAGCACCUAUCAUCCUCUCAUCCAUAGCAAGGUGCGGAAAUUUGCAGAAUAUAGAAAUGGAGUGAAGAAAAAACGCUUUAGCAGAGGAUAUGAUUAUGUUAAGGAUAUAAUGAAGUGUUUGAUUAUUUUUUCCAGAUGAAGUGUUAGACAUUUUAUAGCACUUAAUUAUUUUGGAUUUAUAUGUGAUGUCAGCCUCUACACGUAUAUACGUGAAUGUCACCUAUUAGAAAGAAAUAGUAAUUAAAUUCAUAUUUAAUAUACAUUUUUAAUCUAAUUUUUUUAAUUCAAUUUAAUUUUAGUUAAAACGUUUAAAAACAUUUAUUUAAUCUAAUUUCUUUAAUAUAUUAAAUAAAAAAGAAAUAUUAAAUAAAUUGGAUUAGAGAAUAUAUUGAAUAUGGAUGAAUACUGUAUCAUACUAAUUUUAUGUCUCUAAAAAUUUUAUAUAUUAUUUAGUGGUUUAAUUUUUUAAGAACAUUUGAUAUAAUUCAUAAAGAAAACAAAUAAUAAUUAAUAAUAAAUUUUUUAAUAAAAAAGGUGUGAAAAAUGGUAAGUAGAUAAUAGCUAUUAUCGCUUACAACAUGUUUGGAUUAAAAAGAAGAAAAAAGAAGGGAAAAUUAAGUAAAUUGAGGGAAAGAAAAUUCGGUUUCUUUGUUUAAGUAAAGAAAAUUAAGUAAAUUUUUUAUCGUAUCAUUAGAUUUUAUAUUUUAGAUUAUUAUCUCUUCUUCUUCUUUUUAACUUGUAACAAUCUUAUUUUUAUUUUCUAUUUUUUUAGGUUACUAGAAAUAUUUAAUUUUAAAUUUGUUUGAUAUAUAUUUUUAAAAAUUUUAACAAUAUUUUUUUAUUAACUAUUUUGUUAAAUUAUUAGGAAUCCUUCAUUUAUAAUUUGGUUAAGAUUUUUUUUUUAGUUUGAUCAAAUAAGCUUAUUAAAAAAAGAAUAUACCAAUAUAUUAUUGGUUAACAUUUUAAUUAUUAUUUUAUAUAGAAUAUUGAUAUUUUUCUAUAAAUUUAAUUUGCUGUGAUUUAAUUUUGUUAUUAUAUAUUAUUUAUGAACUGUUAAAAUUAAAAAAUAAAAGUAAAAUAAUUCAUUUUCUUUCCUUUUCACAGUUUAGCAAAACAAGUCCACAGGCUCGUCUCAUUCAAAAAAAGUAAAUUAUAUAUAUAUAUAAGGGCUAGUUUUAACAAAUGAAAAAUAUAGAAAAACUAUAUUAAAAGAAAUGGGGAAGGGAAAAGAACAGAGGGAGAAACAGAAGAGAAUGAAAAAUAAAGAAAAGUUAAAAUAACAUAAAAAAAAUUAAGGGUGGGUUUGGAUGGGCGAUUGGGUGCGGUGCGGUGCGUUUAGCUUAUUUUUUGUCUCACACUACAGUGUCGCUACAGUAUCUAAUCUCACCGCCACCGCUGUUUUUACACUAACUGCAGGUAAACGCACCGCCCAUCCAAACCCACCCUAAAUUGAAUUGCUCAAAACGAAAAAAUUAUAGGAAUCGGUUGUAUAAAUCACCCUAAAAUUUUUGUUUGAAAGAUGAUUUAACAUGUCACAUCAGUUUAUCGUUACACCAUUAACGGAAAUUAACAGCUCAGUGACUAAAAUGUUACAACGUGAUAACGUAAAUGACUAAAAUGUAACGUUUCAAACAUAAGUGACUAAAAUGUAAGCAAAAGUGACUAUUUUAAUAAUUUACCCUUGCAUUUAUCCAAACAUACGCUUAACGUAAACAUUUUUUUAAUUAUUUUUAUUUUAUUUUAUUUUUUACCAUUAUCCGUUAUCCUUAUUUUUAAAAAGUAUAAUUAAUAAAUAGUAUAAUUAUUUUUUAAAAUUAAUUUUAAGUAAUACACCAAAUAGAUUUUAUAACUUAAAUUUAAUAUUUAAUUUUAUAAUUUUUUUUUAUCAAACAACGUUUACUCCUAAGUAAAUAAAUAAAUAAAGGCCUUGUGUAAUUAAGAAAGUUGAGAAAGAGUUAGUCCUCACAUUGGCUAAAAUAACGGAGGAAAGAGAAAAAUUGGCCAAUAAUGGGGAGGCAAUGUCAAUGAGCAUACCCCACACAUACUAUUUACUGUCAAUGGUGAUGGCUGAAUUGGCUACUAUACAUGGAUUUUGUUUUCCUUUUCUUUUUUGUUCUUGUCCUGUAUUAUUUGCAUUUGUGAUCCCAAACUAUGUAAAAUUCCAGUCACUAUGUGAUCACAUUUUAAAAAAAAAAUUAUUUAUUAUCGAUUGAGUAUCAGCUUGAUUGGUAUAAAUAUUAUUGUUAAUGUAUAAGAACAUAAAUUUGAGUGUGUUAAAGCGCAUUAUCCUCUUAUUUAUAGAUUGAGAAGUGGUUAUUGGUAGUUCUAGACAUUGUGUAGAAAAGAAUACAUAUAAUCAGAAUCUAUAUUAAAAUUUUUCAAAAAAAUAUAUUUAUUACACAUGAAUUAAAAGAAAUCUAUUUAUGGGUAGUUCAAGAUUGUUGAAGCUAUAAAAUAAAAAUUCAAUUCGAAAAUAUAAAUCUCUUUUGUUUAACAAAAUAUUAAUAAUUAGUUGAGUUAAUAUUAUGAGUCAAUCGAACACCAAUUUAAUUAAGAAAUUACGAAAAUAUCGUUCCAUAAUUAAAAUAAAUUAUAUUAUUUGAGGAUAUUUUAAUAUUUUUUAUGUAAAAAAAAAUCAAUAAAAAUAUGAAUAUGAUGGGAUUUGAAAUAAAAUCUAGAAUUUACCACUCAACCAAAAUUUUAUUUUAUUAUAUUUUAUACAUUUUUAUUUUAAUAAGCACACUUUAUUAUCUCCGUCAGUUAUAUAUAUAUUAAUAAAUUUAUUGAUUGAGUUGAUAUCACAAGUCAACUCAAUACUAACCGACAAUUGAAGACAACACUUUGAUAGACAGUUGUAGUGCAUUUAAUUAAUAUUUUUAUUUUGAUGUAUUUAUGUGUUUAAAUUUUAUUUUUGCUCCCAAAUUAAUUUAAUUUUUUAUUUUAAUGUCAUACAUAUUUUAUAUAUUCUUAUGAUUAAUUAGCUUCAAACCAUAUGUUUUAUUAUUUAUUUUAUUUUUUUAAGCAUAUAUCUGUAUUCCAAAUCUAAACGCAAUUGCUUAUGUUAGUCAAUGUUACAAAUUGAGAAAUUUAUUAAAACUAUUGAAAUCUUCACAUCUAACCUGGUUUUAUCAUGUUUGGAAGACGCUAUUGAUCUUCUUCAAGUGGUUUUUUCACAAAUAUACUAUUCAUAUAUAUAAAAUAUGAUGAGUAAUAAUGUAUAGUGACGUGUCCAAACACUAAUUGAUGAAAAAAGUGAGUAAUAUUUUAUUACAACAUGAUGCCUUUUCAUAGUAUAAAAUGACUAUGCGAAUGAGGGCUUCCUACCAUUACCAGAAAGCUGAGGCUGUAGGAAUGAUGGCUUUUGCAAGUUGUGAUUUUAGGAUUUUGUGUUUGAUUAUUGUUUAGUUAUGCUAAAAUGUCACAUAUGGGUACUGUUUUAAGUUAUGUGUGAAUUCUAAGUUGAAUAUGUAGCCGCCUAAAAUAUUUAGGAGCGCUAAUUGAGAUCAUUACGAAAGAAAAUUGUAUUCUAACGGUGUAUGAAAAUUUGGACAAAAAUCUCAACUUUUUAUUUUUUUUUAAAUUUUAUUUUUGCUCCCAAAUUAAUUUCAUUUUUUAUUGUUGUACAUAUUUUAUAUAUUCUUAUGAUUAAUUAGCUUCAAGCCAUAUGUUUUAUUAUUUAUUUUAUUUUUUUAAGCAUACAUCUGUAUUCCAAAUCUAAACACAAUUGAUUAUGUUAAUUAAGGUUACAAAUUGAGAAAUUUAUUAACACUAUUGAAAUCUUCACAUCUAACCUGCUUUUAUCAUGUUGGGUAGAUGCUAUUGAUCUUCUUCAAGUGGUCUUUCACGAGUAUACUAUUCAUAUAUAUAAAAUAUGAUGAGUAAUAAUGUAUAGUGACUGUCCAAACACUAAUUGAUGAAAAAAGUGAGUAAUAUUUUAUUACAACAUGAUGCCUUUUCAUAGUAUAAAAUGAUUAUGCGAAUGAGGGCUUCCUAACGAUGGCUUUUGCAAGUUGUGAUUUUAGGAUUUUGAUUGUUUGAUUAUUGUUUAAUUAUGCUAAAAUGUCAUAUAUUUGUGAGCCCUACACUCACAUCAAAUUUAGAUAUGACAAACAUGAUUUAAAACAAAACCAUAUUAUAUUACUAGCUGUGAGCAAUUUAAAGAAAUUGAAUUUCUUUUUUACAAUUUUAAGUUAAUCAAUUAUUUGAUUUUUUAAAAUUAACUUGAAUGAGUGAUUUUGUUUUUCAAGUUUAAGUCAAGUUGAAUUUUACAACUCAAAUAUAAAUAUCUCUUGGGUCACUGAUAGUUUUAAAAAUGUACAAACUGAUCUGUCUCAAAAAUUUUAAAAAUUCAAAAUGAUCUUCUAAAACUCAAAAUAUUUAUAAAAUAUUUUCCCAAAAUUUUAUAAAUACAUAUAAAUUCAAAGAAUUUACCACUUAAAAAUAUAUAAAAAAUAUUAAAUUAUAUUUUUUGAAAAAAUUAAUAAAAUAAAUUUGAGGUCUUAAAUAAGUAACUUAUUAAUUCAAUUUUAUCAUACUAAUUAUCUUGUAUUCCAAGAGUUUUCAUAUAUAUCAGGGGCGAAGCCAGAAAAUUUUUUUUUAGGGGGGCAAAAUGAAUUUUUUAUUUUUAAUAGUCUAUAUCUUUAUAUUAAUAUUUGAACUGGUAUAAAUUAAGAUUGUUACGUCUAACAUUUAUAUCGAAUAAUUUUUACUAUAGAGAAAAGAAGUAAAAAUAAUAAUAUAUGAUGUAAAAUUAUUAAUUUGAGUCUUAACACAGUCGGUAUUUGUAUGUUGUUUAUGUAAUAUGGAGUGAGUUCAAGUAUGUUCAUGUGUAAUUUUUCUUUCUAUUUAAAGGUUGGAGAGGAGUUAGGGUGAAGCUAGAAUUUAUUUUUUUUGGGAGACGAAAUUAAGUUGUAUAUUUUUAUGAGAGUUAAAAUACAAUUUCACAAUUUCAAUAGAUUAUAUGUUUACAAUUUUUAAAGAACUAAAUCAAUAUUUUAUCAUUUUUUGGGGCUAAAGUACAAUUUUACCAUUUAUUAACUUAAAAUUUUAUAAACUUAAUUUAAAGGGUUAAAAUUUGAAUUUCACAUUUUAAAGGGAGGGAUAGAAACCCUUCUAGGCUCCCCUCUUGCCGCCCCCCUAAGAUGAUAUAAAGUAAAGCAAUAAGUGUCUAAAAUAUAUGAAUUAUGAGUACUGAUUACACUUGACCAAUUGCUUUUCUUCAAACAAAGCAAACACUAAUGCACAUGAAAAUGCAAAUUCACAUGCAACCUAGAUAUGCAUUCUAUAUACAAUGCAAUGCAAUGAAUAAAUAAAUAAAUAAAUAUAUAUUAUUUAAUCAUGAGAGUUUUGAUCCCCUUGUGAUUCUUUAACCAACCAUUCUCACACCUAAUUAUAAUUCUAGUAUAGUAAAAGUACGUGAGUGAGUUGAAUGGAUGGUGGUUGUUUGACAUAACAUGUAGAAAGUGAAAAAAUAGUUGAAAAUAAAUCAAGUAUUAAAACAAAAAAUUUAUGAAAGAAAUUCUAGUAUUAUCAAUUUUUCGUGAGGCUCAAAGCUAUUUGGAACAAAAAUAAAAUCAAUGUGUAUAGGCUUAACAAAAUAGCUAUCAUCUUGCAUUGUUAUUUCAUCCUAACCUCUUCCCUCAUAACUUCAUCUUCUAUUUUCUGUUUGACAUUAUCAAAAGUAAAACAUAGUUUUUUUAGGUUUUUCGACUAUUUAUGCAUCAAACUUUUAGGCCAUUUUGGACAUCUUCAUAAUGUUUUUGGGCUUUAAUCUAAGAAAUAAAUUUAGAUAGAUCUUUCAAGUCACAUCAACAUUUCAUAAAUGAUUUAAUAAAUGAGUAAUAAAAGGAUUUAGGGUUAAUGUGCAAAUUUGUCACUAUACUUCAAUUUGAUUGGUAUUUGAUAUUUGAUAUUGAAUUUUAUUGCUUUAAUUUAAUUGAAUUUUGCCACUAAAAUUAGAAUUUUUAUUGAAUUUUCUAUUCAAUUUAAAUUUAAAAUAACUUGAAGGCUAAGUUGAUUAAAAAAUAGUUUUAUAUUUCGCUUUAAUAUUAAAAAAUAAUAAGUUAAUUAAUAUAAUAUUAAAUUUAAAUAAAAUAGUUAUUUUAUAAAAUAAAUUUUUUUUUCUCUUUUAUGAGAUAUGGACUCAUUAACAAUAGAAAUUCUAAUUUAAUUUAUUAAUUUUUAAUAUUUAUAAGUUAAAUUAUUGUUAAAUAUUAAAAUAAAAUAUUUGAAAGAAUUUUUCUUAUUAUAUAUAUUAUGUUUUAAAAUCAUCAAAUUAAUAUUGAGUGGUAAAAAUUAAUUAAAAAAUUGAUUUGGAGAAAUUUUUUAAUAAAAUUGAAAAUUUAUAGUAAAAUUCAAUCACAUAAUAGUUGAUUGAUAAAUUUACACAAAAACUUAAAAUAUAGCUAUGAAUAUCAAUGAAAAUAAAGUAUAGUAGCAAAAUUCAAAGUAUAGUGACAAAUCAUAUAAGUUCAAUGAAUAAAAGAAAUAAAAAAUUAAAUAUAUGAUUAAAAAGAUUUUUUUUUUUUUACGAAAUUGAAAGAUCAAAUAAAUCAUUAUACGUAAUAUAAACAAAAUCACAAGUAUCCUUAAACUUGGCUUAAUUGCCAAUUAGACAAUUUAGGAUGUCAGAUGCAUAAUCAACAAUUUGGAGAUAAAAGGAUGAAUAACCAAGUAUUUUUAUAAAUAAAUUUGUUUUAGAAGAAUGGGAUGAGUUUUAGAGUAUAUAGAGAAGUAGGGUAGUUCUUCCUUCUCCGCAUAGUGGUUUUGCCUACAAUAAUGAAGCAAAGGGAAAAACACGAGGAUGAGAUGCAAUGAAUUCCCCUUGCAUACCCAAUACGUACUAUUUACUAUUUCUUUUCCCACUGAGAAGUUGGUAUUUUGGAAUUAUCGUUUUCAGCUCUACAAAUGUUCUUGGUGCUGUGUCUGUCUUUCUUUGGUGGGUUCUUGCUUUCUGAAUCUGGUUCUACUGUCGAUUUGGAUGGUUAGGAUACAGCGCUUCAGGCAACUGAUGUUCAAAAGGUUCGAUGGCAUUGGGGAUAUGAUGAUUUUAAGUUUAUUGUCGCCCCAUCAGUUGGUUGUUUGGGUGCACAACUAAAUUUUAGUAUUAUUUUAUUUUCCAUAAUUAUAUUUAUUUAAAUUUUAUAAAUAUUUUCUAAGUCUUAAGAUUUUAUUUUUUGCAUUUUAUGAUUUCUUUUUUUGGAUUUUUAAUGGUUUUUAAAUUUUUAUAAUUUUUCUAAAAUGUUUUAAGUAUUUUGAUUGUGUGAGGUUUUGUGAAUGAAGCGAAGGGUAUCUUUAUUGUGGUGAACUUUUAAUUAGCUCAAAAUGAAGUGAUUUAUUACGUCGUGUGAUUUACGGAUAAGUGUUAAAAAUGAAAUGAAUUGUUGAAUUUGAAAACAAUGGUGUAAUAUUGCAGGGAUUUCCAACAUUAUCAUAAAUUUUAGUGAAUUUAGAGACGAAAUCACAGGUCCACUGAGUUUUGUUCAAAUUUAGGGAUUUCAUCGUCAUAUACGGUCGAUUUGGAUAGUUAGCAUACAAAGCUUCAGAUCAUUGAUGUUCAAAAGGUUUGGUGGCCAUGGGUAUAUGUUGAUUUUGAGUUUAUUGUUGCCCCAUAAGUUAGUUGCACUAAAAAAAUGGGUAUUACCGAUGCUAAAAAUUGUUACUAAAAUUUUAUUGUAGCAAUAAAAGUUGUUGCGGGAUUGUUGUGUAUAUCUUUGUUGUCUAAAAUAUAUGCAACUCUACUCAAUUACACAAUAUUUACUCUUAAAUAUGACCUAUUCAACCACCGAUUUCAGCACAUUAAACACAAAUUAAUAAUCUAGAAAUAUCAAACCAAGAAUUAAAUACACAUAAUUGAGAACAAUAAAUUAAGUGUUUAUUGCAUAAAAUAAAAAAUAAAUGAUAGAAUCCAUCAUAGAGUUCACCUCCCUAGGUAUUUAGAAAAUUAGUUCAAGCUUGAAAAUAAAAACAUCCAAGAAAUAGUACAACCAAAAGAAAUAAAGAAAUUCAUGAUAAUCUCCUAAGAAAUCAACUGAGAAUCUUCAAUCUUGACAGAAAUUUGCUUCCAACUUGGCUUCAAUGGUAUUUUUCGAGUUGUUUUCUUGAAUAUUUUAUGACGGCACUCUCAUAUCUUCUUAAUUUUGUCAUAUAUACGUCUUAGAAUGCCCAAAAAACUUAAAAAUUGUGAUUUUAUGCUGUUUGUGUGGCAAUUCCACGAAAUCGACACAGCCUACUACACACCAGUGUGGGUCAUACGACUGUGUGCUUUCCUCGUGUGAAAUUUAGAAAAUGCAAAAGAUUCCCUAUGCACUAGCUGCUGGAAUCUAAUGUAUGCUCAAGUAUGUAUGCGUCCAGAUAUUGCAUACAUUGUUGGGAUGUUAGGCAAACAUUUAAGCAACCCUGGUAUAGACCAUUGGAUAACAACUGAAAGGGUUAUGAGGUAUCUUUAGAGAACAAAAUAUUACAUGCUCACAUAUUGGAUGUUUGAUAAGUUAGAGAACAUCAAGUUUACAGACUCCAAUUUUGAUGGAAUAUUGAUGCAACAUUUUGCCACUAGAGUGCAAACUGUGACAAUAAUUAGUAGUCUCUUAUUCCAAUAACAAUAAAAGCACAUCAAAGUCAAAGCACAUAGACUUUAAGUUCAUAGUUGUUAAAAUAAAAGUUCAGGGUGGUUAGAUGUCUAUAAAGUAUAUUGAGACAAACUUCAUGAUUGCGGAUUCGCUUACUAAGGGACCACCACCCAAAGUUUUUUUCAUGAGCACACUAUUGAUAUGAGUGUAAUGUCAUUCACUACAGAAUAAGUUUUUAGUGGCGUUAUUUUGGGGCUAUAACUGCCUUAUAAGCGUCGCUAAAACAACUUGCGGCGUUUUGAAAAGCACCGCUAAAAACGCCACUAUAGAACAUGACCUUUAGGGGCGCUUUUCCCACAAAUGCCGCUAAAAGUAUGACCUUUAACAGUGUUUGUGGGGCAAACGCCACUAAAGAACAUGACCUUUAGCGGCGCUUUCUCCACAAACGUAACUAAAUGUCAUGUUCUUUAGUGUCGUUUUUAGUAAAAGCGCCGCUAAAAUUCAUGUUCUUUGGCGACAUUUGUGGAAAAAUGCUACUAACUUUAGCAGAUUUUUACCAACCCAUUUUCAUUCAUAUAGAAUCCUAAUUGUUAACAUAAUUUCCUGUAACAUCAAAUCCAACCAAAAACUAAAAAUUUAAAUGAUACUUCAAUUCCAACGAAAGAAAUAUGUAUGUGAUCUAAAUCAGUAAAUGAAAUAACAAAAUAUAUUAUAUUCAAAAGUUAUAUUGUUAAAAUAUUCUCACAAUAAGAAAACAAACAUCUAAGAUGAUGGAUUCUACGACUGUUGAAACAUCUUCAUCAUAUUCUGAAGCUGUAGCUGGAGUUUGUCAUAUUUUUUGCUUGCCCCUGCUUCCCUUGCUGCCGCCUCCGCUUUAAGUUAUAGUUGGAGUUUUUCAUAUUUUCUUUAAGUCUUUGCUUUUCUCGAUGCUGCCUCCACUUUAAAUUGAGCAAUUUGCUCAACUGUGCUCGCUUGCAUUUGAACCAUCUGGUCUCUUAACCUCUGAACUUCAGCUUGAGCCUGAUUCUCUGAAGGCAUGUAUUGUUGCGAACUGGAUCCAAAAUAUUGGGUUGGGUUAACAAAAUAUCCUUGAAAUCAAACCCGACCAUACUUUUCGAGACCCAAAACUUCGGUAAUAAUUCAGUUAUCAAUGUCAUCAAUAUUAACAGAACUAUCACUUGAAGCGAUCGCUUCAUACUCUGCCCUUUUAUCCUUUAGUUUCUCCUAAUAAAUCAACCAAAGAGUUAGAAACGAAAUAUAUAAUCAAAACAAAUGCAAUAUAACUUUGGGAGUCUAAUGUAUGCUCAAGUAUGUAUGUGUCCGGAUAUUGUGUACAUUGUUUGGCUGUUAGGCAAACAUUUAAGCAACUCUAGUAUAGGCCAUUGGAUAACAAUCGAAAGGGUUAUGAGGUAUCUUUAGAGAACAAAAUAUUACAUGCUCACAUAUUGGAUGUUUGAUAAGUUAAAGAACAUCAAGUAUACAGACUCCAAUUUUGAUGGAAUAUUGAUGCAAAAUUUUGCCACUAUAGUGCAAAUUGUGACAAUAAUUAGUAGUCUUUUAUUCCAAUAACAAUAUAAGCACAUCAAAGUCAAAACACAUAGACUUUAAGUUCAUGGUUGUUAAAAUAAAAGUUCAGGGUGGUUAGAUGUCUAUAAAGUAUAUUGAGACAAACUUCAUGAUUACAGAUUCGCUUACUAAGGGAUUACCACCCAAAGUUUUUUUCAUGAGCACACUGUUGAUACAGGUGUAAUGUCAUUUAAGGAUAUUUGACUUUAGUGGGAGUUUGUAUUUUUAAAUUUUUUUAUGUUACAGACACAUCGGUUAUCUCAGUUUACGAAUAUUAAGUUUAUUUUCUUUAGAAAUAAAGUUUAUUUGGUAAAGUUUGACCUCACUAAGGUUAAGGAGGACCAUUUAGAAUAGGCAUGUUUGAAUCAUAUUGCAUGUAAUUUUCAUGUUACACAUCCAUACUUGAUCUAUGUCAUUUGGUUGUGCUAAUAUAUGUUAUUAGGGAUGGAUUUAGUUAUGAUAUAUGUAACAAAAGUCACAUUCGUUCUAUGUUAACUUAAUUAAUGAAUGAGAUUAUUUGGAAUACCUUUUGGAUAUGAUAGUAAAGUUUUGAGCUCAUAAAUUUAUAUAAUGACAUGUAAUUAUAAGGUAAUUGGUAUAUAUAUGUGGCCAAGUGGUAUGGACAUCACAUAUAUAAUAAGCCUAAUUACUCCAAAAUCCUUGCAGCCCUUUAAUGACUUUUAAGCAAUCAUAACCAUUUUAUUUACAGGUCAUUUGUAUGAAGGAACUUUGUGGUCAUGAUCGAGAGAUUCGAAUUUAGCAUAUUUACAGAGAAGGAAAUCUUGUUUCAGAUUUCUUGGCCCAUAUGGGAUUCCGGCUUUGAUCUAAGUUUACUACGAGAGCCACCUGGAAAUGCUCUCUCAAUUUCAACUAUACUAUGUGAUGAUAUUGCUAGUUCUUUGCCCUAUCGCCUGUGCUCAUUUGUGGUUAAUUAGUUUGUAAUAACCCAAAUUUGCCCAGGCUUACAACCCAAAAAUAAACAGAAAUAAAACCCAAAAAUAAAUAACAAGGCCCAAAUAAUAAUAGCCCACAAAACUUAAAAAAAAUCCAGCCAACUGAAACCCUAAUGCCCUCAUAUACGCCGCACCUCCUCCUCGGACACACUGCUCGUACCUCGUCCCAAGGUCUGACUCUUCCCAUAACAGCCCAAUUUUCAAUGAUAUCAGAAACAAUGAUUUUGGAUCACUAAAUCUGAUAAGUAAGCUUGAAAAUUUAAUAAUUAAUAAUUACGGGUCAAGUGUGAAUUUAGAAGAAUUUUUGAAUUAGUGAAUUUUGUUAUUUAAAAAGAAUUUAAUAGGUAAAUCGGGUCUAAAAUGAGGUAUCGAGACCUCGAAUCCAUAAGUCAACACAUAAAUAUUUUUAUAAAUAUUUAUGGAGUGCCAUUGAGUUAGUAUUAAAGUUUCAUCAGAAAAUUUUAACGUUUUGAUAGUCAAUUAAUUAAAAAGGACUAAAUAGAAAAGAUGCAAAACUUGCUAAAGUGAUUAAAUAGCCUAAAAAUUAAAUAAGGAAGGCCUAAAAGAUAAAAUGGACCAAUUUAAGUGGCUGAGGUGGCAUACGGUUAAAAAAAUUAAAGAUUUUUAUGUAUUUAAGGGCAAAAUUGGAAUUACAAUAAAGUUUAUGUGGCCAAAAUUUAUUUUAAGGAUUUCAAGACCAUUUCUUCUUGAAAUUUCGGUGUAAAACAGCCAUGGAAGAGGAUUGAGAGCUGAUAUUUUAUAUUUUAGCUUCAAGUUCAAUUCUUGUUUUUCCCUUGAAAUUUUUAUAUUUUUGGACUUUUACAAUUAGGUCCAACUUAGUAUUCUAUUAGUUUUUUAUUUUGUUGAAAGUUUUGGAAGAUACCAUUGAUAAGUUCAUAUGAUUUUUAUUAUUUGGUGAUGAAAUUGAGAUGUUAAUGGAUGUUUAAAGGUGUUUUAUUAAAUAAUUUUGGAUGAAAAUAUGUUUUAGGGAUUAAAUUGAAAAGUAUUGAAUUUGUGGAAAAUUCUAAAAUUUUAAGAAAUCCAUGGGCUUUCAUUGACAUGUAUGCGAAUGAUUAGGCUUGUAUCAAUGAUUAAAUUGAAAUAAUUUCAUUUUCCGAGCCUAGGGAUGAAAUCGUCAUGUAUUAAAAGUUUAGGGUCAAAAUGGUAAUCAAUAUAUUGCACUAAAAUAGUUUUGGGUAGUAGUAGUGUGCCAACUUUGAAAAAUCACCAAAAACUGUGGGAAUCGAAUUAGAAGAUGAGUAAAAGAUGAAAUUAAAGCUUAUUGUGUCUAGUUUCUCAUAGAAGAAACAGUGUAAGCAAUGGAAUUAUAAAUCAUGAGAUAUAAUAAAUUUUGUGAGACAGAGUCAGAAUAAUUUUGGAAUCCCCUGUUCUAAUUUUGGAAAAUCAUUAAAAAUUGUAUAAAAAUAAUUAUGAGUUAUAGUUUAUAUGUUUAAAAUCCUGAAAGAGUUUAUUUUCAAGAGAAACAAACAAGAACAUCACCCAAACUCUGUACAAUGAGAUAAUUACUUUUUGGUGAAGAGAGGUCAGAACUGUCAAACAGUGAAACAGGGGAGAAUUUAAAGAAUAAACUGUAUUUAUUGGCUAAGCCAAAAAUUCUAAAAAUUUUAUGGUAAAAUGAUAUAUGAGACUAGUUUCUGGAAAAAUUAACAAAUCUUAAUUUAGAGCUUCGUAGCUCGAGAUAUAAAUAAUUUAGUGACUCUGACUCGGAUAGACAACUUUGAAUUUAUGUAUAAGUAAAUCGUGAAAAUAUAGUUAAUGUUAUUUAAGCAUGUUAUAUACAUUAAGGAUGUGGAAUGGAGAGGAGGAGGAGGAAAAUUGGAAAAUAUAUGAAUGACUUGUGUAUGAAUUGGUCAUAUGCCUGAUUAUAAUCGAUAAACGUUGAAUUUGAAAUGAUAUAAUGUUUUAUUUCAAAUAGUUAUUAUGAAAUUAUGAUUAUCAUUAUGUUACAAAAUUUAAUUGUAAGUUCAUAUGGCAGAAUUUUAAUGAUUAAUUGUUAAUUUCAUAAUUAUAUAAUAUAUGAUGGGAUAUAAUUGUUGAUGAAUUGAGAAUAAAAUAACAAUGCGAAAAUCGAAUAAAUGAUCAAAUUUAGUGGAACGUCGGAUUUGAGUACUUCUGAUCAGUGACAAGUGAUAUAUGAUUUCCGUGUAAGACCAUAUUUGGGAUAUGGCAUCGUUGUGACAUGUGUUUCCGUGUAAGACCAUAGCUCGGCUAUGGCUUCGGUGUGUGAUAUGUAACGAUGUGCAAUACCAUAGCUAUACUAUGGCAAUGUGGAAACAAAGUACUCAAUUCCAUAAGACGUUCUCUAAUUUAUCAAAUUGUGGUAAGUGUUAAGCAAAUUUUAUGUGAUAAAACAUAUUGAACAGUGAAAUUGAGCUGAAUUAUGUGAUCUCAUCAUUCAGAGAUUGUGUUUGAUAGGUUAUGUUAAUAAAUUAUGUGUAUGUGAAUUUAAGUGACAGAAAUUAAACAGCUAAUGAUAUUGAGCUCAUUUACAUGAAUCUGUCAUUUGAAAUUGUGAUUGACAGAAAGAAAUAGUGAAUUGAAUAUGAAAAUGUGAAUAGAAAGCACAAACUAAAUGUUCUUGCGAUAAAUAAUGGCUCAAUGUGAUAGUAAAUGAUGUUAAUCUAAUGAAAGUUAAAUUGAAUUGUAAAUGACUUGAAUUAUCCGAAAAUGUUCUAUAAUCUCUGGUAAUGUCUCGGAACCCUAUUUCGGUGACAGAUACGGGUAAGGGGUGUUACACUUCCCCUGGCCACCUUGCCUAGCCUUGUAAAACAAAAUAGAAGAAGAAGAUAGAAGCGAAAAUAGCAGGGGAUAGCAGAAAAUAGUAGCAUAAUCGGCUGUAAAAGCCCCAAUGAAAUGUAAUUUAUUUUUUUUCUACGGAUAAUCAAAUAUUAAGAGAACAAAAUAUCAAUCGAAAAUCCUGAAGGUUUACUUCUACUGUUGUUUUAAGUUUUGGUUCAUUUUUAUUCUGCCUUUUAUUUUUCAUUUUUUUACAUACAAAGAAAGGAAAAAGAAACAGAAAUAAAAUACCAUAGUUUUAAAACAACAAAGGAAUUUCUUUGCAUAUUUAUCGAAAAUAGAGCAUAUAUACAUAGAUAUAUUCAAAAAAACACAAGUUUUUUUAACCUCUGUUGUGACUGAAGAAGGUGGAACCAAAUGGUUUUUUUUCGCCUUUUCUGAAUUUCAAAGGGGUUUCUUAGGAUUUUAACCUCGGAUUGAGAUUUGGGAGGCCGAAUAGGUCGAAAAGGGGCCUUUUUUUGAACUCCGGUCGACGUAUACGGCGGCAUACGGUGGUGGAUGACGGUGGACGGACGGUUGCCCAGUGACUAGGGUACAGCUAGACCACGACCGGAGGAAAAGGGAUUGAGAGAGAAUCCCCUGAUUUUUUUUGGAAAAAGAAGAAAAUGAAAUUUUUAAAAAAAAAUUGACUUAACUAGGGCCCCUAAACGGCGCCAUUUAGGGCUGGUCAUAAUAGCCCUAAAACGAUGUCGUUUUGCCCAAGACCCGCGCAUGUGACCCGACCCGCCAGAGGAUCCGCGUGUUUUUAACUUUUGGGCUAUUUGCGCUUUAGGCCCUUCAUCAUUUUUGGUCUAUUUCAAUUUAGUCCUUUUGCAUUUUUUCUUUAUUUUUUAAUUUAGACCACAGAUUUGUCUCGGUUUUCAAUUUGGUCCUCAAUUCGUUGGACCCCUGGGGAGGAGAUGCGUGGCCUGGAAAACUGGUUUAUUACCCAUUUGGCCCUCCUCCCUCUCGCGCUCUUUCAUUUUGGUCUUUCUUUAUUCAUUUUAUUAUAGCUUUGACCUUUAAAUUUCAUUUUUAUCCCGAGUUAGUCCAUCUUUGUUAUUUUUGUUAUAUUAUUAAUUAAUCUAAUUAUUAUCAUACUUAUAUUUUCUUUUUAUAUUUACUUAUUAUAUUAUUAUAUUAUACUAUUAGUUUUGUAUUAUUAUUAUUAUUAUAUUAUUAUUAUAUUUAUAUUUAUAUUUACUUAUCUAAAUUUUAAAUAUAUUUUGUCUUAGUAUAUAUUAUUAUGUAAUUACUUAUAUCUUUUGUAUUUUUUUAACUCUAGAUUAUUCGCUAUUCUAUUAUUAAUAUUAUUAUUGUUAUUAUUUACUUAUUUAUAUCCUUUUUAUUUCAAACUUUGUUAUAUAUAUACAUACAUACAUAUAUUAUUUUUUAUAUUUUUAUAAUCUUAUUUAUUUUCAUUAUUGUUAUUAUUGUUUUACUUGAUAUUUAUUUAUUUAUGUGUCCAUUAUUAUUUUAAGAAACAUUUUAGUUCUGUUUGUUUAUUUACUUGUUAUUUUAUGUAUAAUUGAUUUGUCCCCUUUUUUUAUUUAUUUAUCUUAUUUUCGUUGUUGUUGCUCGUAUUAUUUAUGCUUACAUCAUUGUAUUUAUUAUUGUUUUGUUACGCAUAUUAACCCCGUGUUUUAUUUCUACCAUUUCGUGUUAGAUUAAUCUCAUUUGAUGCAUAAAUCAUGACUUUAAAACAAGUAAAACUAGAUAUUUUGAGAUCCGAAAAGGUCGUGCCCUAACUUACGGGGCUUUGAUUUUCUCGAUAAAUUCAAAUACACGAAUCUUUUCAAACAUAAGUUUUUUAAGUGAUCUCGGGAAUUAAUAAAAGAUCGGGUUCUAACUUACGGGACUUGAUUUCUUUUCCAAACCCGAGAUAAUCAAAUCGAAUAUCCUUCAAAUAAAUAAAGCUUUUGGCAUUUAUUCUCGAAUCAAGUAUUUAAAUAUAUUGUGUCCUAACUUACGGGAUAUAAUUCUCUUUCUCGAUUAACGCGAAAUAUGCCCUUUUCUUGAAAACUUUCAGCAUUUUAACAAAGGAUUGUAUUUUGAAUCUUUUCAAAGUUUCCAAUUCUCGACACUAAGACACUAAUUAAUCAACCAGGUACCAAUUUCUAGGCGUUAUGAGGGUGCUAACCCUUCCUCGUAUGUAACCGACUCCCGAACCCAUCUUUCUGAAUUUCGUAGACCAAAAGCGUUGUUUUAAUAAAUCGAACCGUUUUGUUAAAAAUAACCAUUUUUUGAGUUGACCUGAUCACACCUCCUCAAAAAAGGAUUGGUGGCGACUCCCAUAUUCAUUUUCGUUUUAAAAAUCCAAGUCGACCUCUUUUAUCAAAAAAUGGUUUCGACAUAGUUGUUAAGGCUUUUGCCUCUUUCUUUUAUUAAAAAAAAAAGCUGGGCACGAUGAAUCGACCUUAGCUAGUAAAAAACUUCAAUCACCGAAUUGCAUAAAAUUCUAACUUAAAUUCAAAUGCAGAAGCAGGAUCGUUUAUCAAUCCACAAUAUCAACAAAUCUCAAUUCAAACACAAAAUUAACCGGUGAAAAAAAAUAGUUCAACCCAUAAACAUUUACCACAAAGGGAAAUUUGAAACACUUACCACCAUUCCCCUAUCAGAAAGUCUUACCCACAUUCAACAACUAGAAAUCAGAGCUCACCAAAAUGUUUAUGACGAAGCCAUUUUUUUGAAAAGGGUCGACUUUUUAUUUAAAAACGAAAAAGGGAGUCACCACUAAUCAUUUUUAUGAGGUGUGAUCGGGUCACCUCGUAACGGUUUAAUUGAUUAAAAUAAAAAUUUUGGUCUACAAAAUUUAGAAAAAUGGGUUCAGGAGUUGGUUACGUACGAGGAAGGAUUAGCACCCUCGUAACGCCCAAAAUUGGUACCUAAUUGAUUAAUUAAUGUCUUAAUGUUGAAAAUUAAAAACUUGAAAAGAAUUUAAAAUACGAUCCCUCUUUAUUAAUGUUAUUUUUUAGUUAAAAUUUCUUGGAUAAAUCAAAAUGUGUGCUUAAGACUUUCUCGUCCCAAAGUAGCAAAAAUAUUAUGUCCCGUAAGUUAGGACACAACACUUUGAACUUUGGAGAAUGAACUUGCCUUUAUUUUUUAUUUUAAAUCUUAUUAUUUUGAUUUUAAAAGGAUAUUCGGUUAUUUGAGUUCAACGAGAGAAUCGAAACCCCGUAAGUUAGGUACGAUUUCCUGAAUCUCCAAAAUAUGAAUUAUUGCCUAUUCUUUUGAAAAUUUUCCAUUUUUAUGAAAUUGGAUGAAAAUUAAUGAUAUUUAAAAUGAUAUGCAAUAUAAAAUAAAAUAUUAUAAUAACCAUGACGUAAUUACAAAGAUGAAUGCAAUAUUGUUUGGUGGAAAAUGUUUUCCGAAAAAUAUUUUCUGAAUUUUCCAGCGUUUGUUUGGUGGAAAAUGAAUUCCUAAAGUAAAACAUUUUCCAAACACGGGUAAAAUUAGUCCCCAAUUUUUGGAAAACGUCUUACUAAUUUGGAAUCAGUAAGAAAUUUUCCCGUUCUCCCUUCUCUACACUCUCGUUCUCCCUGCCUCUCUAAACCAAUCUUAGGGCUCAUUGAGCUGGUUCCGGGCUAUUUUUCCCCCUUGAUUUCUUCUCCUUUUUAUAAAUUAAUUUGGGGCUUUUCAUCACUGUGUGUUGUUUUUGUCUGGGAUCUCUUGCAUGGGUUUUCUGCUAGUUUGGGUUCUCUGUGCUCAGGCUUUCUACAAAUUCUGCUCUUCCUCUCUUGCUUGGGUCGGGUUUUUGUUACCGUUUUGUAGCCUGUGGCGUUUGGCUUGUCUUGGGCAAACUUUCUUCGCUGACUUUCUUUAGAAAGGUAUAUUUUCUAUUUUCACUUCCAUUUUCUACUUAUUUUUUAGACGCAAAAUUUCUUAGCAAUUCUUUUAUCUUGAACAAACAAUGUUUUGAGGUUUUGGGUCGUUUCAUAAAGUAGAAAAGGAAUCGAACUGUUAAUAUUCUUAAGAUUGAGAAAUUGAGGACACGUUUGGUUCGCUGUAAUGGAAUAGAGGCGUAAUAGUAAUUCAACUGUUUGGUCGAAUGGAAUGGAAUAGAGCUAUAAUAGUAUUCUUGUGUUUGGUUGAAUGGAAUUAUGUUGUAAUAGCAUAAGGAAAAAAACUAAAAUGAGUAUACCCUUAGCAGAAUUUUUUUAGGUAGAUGAUUAUUAUUAUUCUUAUUAAAUUUUAAUAAGAUUAUUAAUAUAAAUAAUAAAUAAUAUAAUCAUAUUUAACAUAAUUAUUAUUAAAUAUAAUUUAAUAAAAAAUAUAUAAUUUAAUAAAAUUCUUAAUAUAAUUAUUCUUAUAUUAAUUUCCUAAAAUCAUAAUAUAUAAUAAUCACUACACCAAAACAGGUUUUUAGCGGCGUUUGGAUAAAAAACGUCGCUAAAAAUUGAGCAUUAGCUGCGAUUUACGUCAAACGCAGCUAAAGAUCGAGCAUUAGUGGCGCUUCCAAGAAAGCGCCUCAAAAAAUGAGCAUUAGCGGCGUUUAUCCAAAAAACGCCGCAAAAAACGUAAACCCAACGGCAUCGUUUUUGACCUUUCGGGGCUUUAGCGGCGCUUUUUCAAAAGCGCCGCUAAUACUCGGGUCUUUAGCAGUGCUUUUCCCAAAAUGCCGCUAAUGCUCUAGUCUUUAGCGGCGCUUUUUCAGAAGUGCCGCUAAUGCUCGGGUCUUUAGCGGCGCUUUGUCAAAAAUGCCGCCAAAGCUCGGGUCUUUAGCAGCGCUUUUUCAAAAAUGCCGCUAAUGCUCGUGUCUUUAGCGGCGCUUAAUCCCAAAUUGAUCCUCCAUACCAAAAUGAGUGGAAAUGAGUUUAAAAGAUGUCCAAAACAUUAACAUUUAAACAUUUGUUAAGAAAUUUUCUUUUGUUUUCAAUAUAAAUGGCUUAAAAAAUGAAAAAAAAGUCUUAAACUUUGUUUGAUUAAAAAUUUUCGUAUAUAAAAAGGAACAUAUUUAAAUUUAUGUGGAUGGUUUUUAUUUAGUUUCAUUAAUAUAGGGAGAUUAAAGAUUGGUGGAGAUUUUACCUAACAAAUUAUUAUAGAAAGAGAGAAGAUGGAUUUAACACCUUUUGAGAAUCCAUUCCCCAAUGAGUUGUAUGGUGUAUCAAUUACGCAUGUAUGAAUAUAUUUUCCUUCCACCAUGUGCUGCCACGAAACUUAGGGCCAAUAUUGUGGAUUCCCGGAGAAUUAGAAGAUAAAAGAAAACCUAUAGGAGAUUCUUGUAAGAGUUACUGGUUUAAGAUUGGUUUUGGAUUUUGUAGGAAAGAUAUGCUGCAUCAAUUACACAUGGGGAUUUAAUACAAGUUGGAUCAUUUUCCUCAUCAGCUAACAUUUUCUUAUGCUAGUUUAGAUCCAAAUCCACACACCCAAUUUUGAUUUGCGCUUCCAUCAAACUAAUUCUUUUUACUGUGAAAAACAUAUUAUUUCAGUAAUAAAUGUUGAAUCAACAUUAUUUUAAUAAUAAAUUAUUUUAUUCCUUUUACUAUAGUAUUUUUUUCCCAUCAUGUUGAUUUAGGUAUAGUUUGGAUAGACAUUGCGUUUACUUGUGUUUAGUAUAAAAACAACAGUGACGAUAAAAUUAGAUAAAAGUGAACUAAUCGCACCGCACUGGCCAUCCAAAUCCAAGUACCAUACUCUUCUUUUAGUUUUUUUUAAACCCUAAAUAAGAAAGACAACCUCAUUUAGCGAAGUCAUUAACCCCUUUCUUAAAUUUCCAUAAUAAAACUCAUACCCUAUUCAAAAACCCUAUUUUAACAAAAUUCAACUAUCUUUGAAUUAUUCGUAACCCUAUAUUUAUAAUACAGACGUGGUGAUCAGUUAGACCUUUAAUUACUUAACAUACUUUUUUUUUAUUGACUAACAUCUCUUGUUUUUAUUGACUCCUUUAAUUUUAAUUUAAUAAUUUUAUAAUUUAAUCUAAAGAGGUCAAAUUCGAAUUAUUUUUUUGAUAUAAUUUUUAAUUUAACAAGAGCUGAAUCAUACUUUAUAGGAUUUGAACCUUGGACGAUAGGUUUGAAGACCCACAUGCUACCGAACUAAACUAAUAUCACUUUCUUAUCAUAAUAAAUAAAAUUGUAAAAAAAAUCCUUUUAUUUUAUAACCCUAAUACAAUACAUUGUAUGUCGUAUAUAUAUAAUAUGAGAAAAUGAUAGAUUGAGCAAAAUUGCAUCAUAGGUUGUGUUCAAAAUUCAAAUUCUUUUUGGUUUAGAGGGUUUUAUGUUUGGUUAGUGAUAAGUUUUUUUUCUUUCGCAUGUGAUUUAUCUUUUCGAUAUGUAGGGUGAAGGAUUUAAAUUGUGGAAUGUUUGGUUUAUAUAAGCAGCUUAAGGUAAGAAAAGAAAAGCAAGAUAAAAUUUGAAAGAUGAUCCCAUUGUUGACUGAUUCAUUUACUGCGAGCUUCUCCCUCAUAUUGUAGCGACACUGAUGUACAAAAUAUUUCAAAGAUGUACAAAUUUUUCGAGUUUAAAAACUACAUUGAGUGUAUUUUCGUAGGAGUUCAGUUGAUUUAAAAACUACAUUAAAUGGUUUAGGAUUUAAGGUUUACUUCAGAUUUGUUAAAUGAUGAAAUUUUAUACAAUAAAUUAAUACUUUUAUAUUUAAAAAUAUUUAAUCUAAAAUAUUCGAUAUAUUUAAAUAUUAGAUUUAAAAAAAUUGAUAAAUAAAUAAAGUCACUUAACUAAUAAUUUUUGGUAGAUAAAAUAAAAAAUUUUUAACAGAGCAAAACGACGUUAUUUUAUCAAUAGAUAAGCAAUAAUGGCGUUUUUUGUAAAAACGCCACAAAAUUUAUUUUACUUAGAAAAAAAUUUGGCGCUGAUUUUUCCCAAAUUUUCCCCCUAAAACCCCUAACUUUGCAAACAAAAUGAAAAAAAGAAGAGGAAAAUGAAGGUACCAAAGACGAUUCAGCACAAAACCUCUCCAAUCUACUUACGAGUUCUACCGUUUGUUUCCCUGGAAAAUAUAUGAGACUUAAUAUUUUCUGUUCCAUUUUUCCUCUUUAUUUUCUAAUUUUGGGUAUUAUUUACUCAGAUCCCCUUUCUUUUUAUUAUUGUUUUUUUUUUCUCUUAUAUUUUAGCUAGAAAUCGACGAUGCAAGUUACUGCUGGUAACAAGUUAUUGCUUAAAAUUCAUCGUAACAAAUCUACUUCAAAGGAAGUUAUUCAUAUUCCUUCGUAUCGAAGCGAAGUUAUUUACGGUGGAACUUGGUUCUCCAGCUCUCGUAAGUUUGUUCCCAGUUUUGUAUUUGCCAUCUAUACCAGGUUUACCUCUCUUACUUCUCUUCGUCUUCAUCUCCCUUUCAUUUAUUCUACCAAAAACGCCUCUUACUUGUCAUUUUUUUCUCACAUAUCGUGCAAGACUCAUUUUUCUUUCUUUAUGCUCUAGUCUUAACAGUGCACUUCAACUGUUCAAUAUAAUGCUUCUUUAUACAAUUUGUUUCUGGUUUUCAGGGGGUGUUGUUUGUAAGAUGUUGAAGCAAGCGAUAUGGAAGGUGUUGAGCAAAAGGGUAGUUUCAGAUUCUGGUGAUAAACUUCUUUUGCCUUGUUUGUACUUGCCCACGACUUCUUUUCACGCUGGACAGGUAGGUACUCUUUUUUUUUCUUUUAACUCUUACUUUAGUUUUUUUUAUGGAUACCCAAUUGUUAAUUUAUUAAAUAAUAAAUCUUUAAUAAUAAACCUAAAUUUAUGGCAUUUGAAUUAUUUGUAGAAUUUGAAUCAUAAAAACAUUGUCAAGUAUCUUGGAUCAUUGAAGACAACAAGAAGUUAGGUUUUGUAGUCUCUGUCUGGAAUUCUUGCUCUGAAGUUUGUCUAUUUUAUACGAGUUGAGUUUUCAUGGUUUGCUGUUGCAUUGUUUCUUCUGUUCUUUGUUUUGUUAUUGGAACUAUUUCCAAUUGUCUGGUUUACUUGAAAUCCGAUAUUUGAUUAAAGGGACCAAGUAGAGAGCACAAGUGAGAGCGAAGGCAGUGCAAGUGAUGAAGUGCUUGUUGUUCCUUAUGAUAACUUAGCACCUAUUUCUUGUGGUAAUAUUUUCUCAUUAUUCUUCUACUUUUGAAUUUAUUGUAUUCCAAAUAUAGCAUCAAGAAAAAUAUAAUAGUACAUUAGAGUUCAGCUUGUAUAAUUUGUUUGGAUUCUUUCUGUCUUGAAGCAGAUAUUACUGAAUCUAAGCAGCUUUUAGAUAAGCUUGUUGUGGUGAAGUAUAAUAGAGCUUUGGGAAAGAAUAUGGGUUUCGUUGGUCCCAAGUAAGCAAUUAUCUAACUUCUGGAAGUUUGAUACUUAUUUUUUUCCAAGAAAAGAGAAGCAUUUCUUGAUGAUUCCAUAGUUAUAUAUUAAAGACUUGCCUCUACAUAAAUGAAUAUAGUUUCUAUGACAUACAUAUAUUUAUGUAUGCUUUUUAUAUAUGCCUCUACAUUCAUAUAUUUAUAUAUGCUUUUUAUAUUGUAUUGUGCCAAAUAAAGAGAAUAAAAGUUUUAAUUAUUGAUAGAUUCUGCUACUUUUUUUAUGUACUUUUUAUUAAAUCACUCUUUAAUCAAAUGUAGAAUUAUAAAAUUAUUAAAUUUUACUAUAAAUAAUUAUCCUUAUAUAAUUAAUUAUUUUAGUAAAUUUUCCAACUAUCAAAACAGAUCACUCCACCAUCCCACGUCAAAAUUUUGUUAAGGGUAGGAGUUGAGAGAGGUAGAUACUUUGAUGAAUAUUUUCUUUUACAUGAUAAUUAUAUACUUCUUUAAGUUUGUUUUGGAUGUUGGGACAAUGUCAGUUGAUGCCGAAAUUUGAUAGUGCUGCAAAUUGAAGUGUUUAAGUGCUGCAAAUUGAAGUAUUUAGUUGCUGCAAAUUGAGAUGUUUUAUCGCUGUAAUUGAGGUGUAUAAAUGUUGUUAAUUGAUAUGUUUAAGUGCUGCAAAUUGAAGUGUUUAAAUGCUGUAAAUUGAAGUGUUUAAGUGCUGCAAAUUGAAGUGUUUAGUUGCUGGAAAUUGAGAUGUUUUAUUGCUGUAAUUGAGGUGUAUAAAUGUUGUUAAUUGAUAUGUUUAAGUGCUGCAAAUUUAAGUGUUUAAAUGCUGUAAAUUGAAGUGUUUAAGUGCUGCAAAUUGAAGUGUUUAAAUGCUGUAAAUUGAAGUCUUUAAGUGCUGCAAAUUGAAGUAUUUAGUUGCUGGAAAUUGAGAUGUUUUAUCGCUGUAAUUGAGGUGUAUAAAUGUUGUUAAUUGAUAUGUUUAAGUGCUGCAAAUUGAAGUGUUUAAGUGCUGCAAAUUGAAGUGUUUAGUUGCUGCAAAUUGAGAUGUUUAACGCUGUAAAUUGAAGUGUUAAAGUGCUACUUUCCAUUGUCACCUCCCCCAUUUCUUUAUGCAUCAAUAACUAUAUUAAUGAAAUCAAGUACUACAAUUAUAUACUAUUGCAGAUGGGGGUUGGAGAAUAUGAUCAAGGGGAAAACAUCAGAUAUGGUGAUUCCUAGCCAAGCAGUGGCUUCUUAGACACCCAACAUUUUGCACAACCAAACAUGACCACAACUUUUAAACCUACAUGUUGAGGUUGCUACACACAAGUCCCUUCCUUUUUUUAGUUUAUGUGCUAUGUGAUGAUUGUGUUUUAAAAUUUAACUUGUUUUAGUUCCUUACAUUCUUAUACGAUUCACACUCAAGGAGCUAGAUUUGGAGCUUAAACUGUCACUGUAAUCAGUAAUUUUUUUUUUGCUUCUUUAAAUGCAUGCUCAUGGAACUACAUCUUAUGCUUUCCUAGAAUUGUAAGUUCAAAUAAGGUGUUGAUCUGCAAUUUAUACAUACAACUUGAGCAAGUUGAUAUGAACUAGUUUCAAUUUUUUUUUUUAAAUGAAAGGAAUGUUAUGUAAUCAAAGGCAAUUUGACUUGUUGCAUGAGAUAUAGUGAAAAACAUUUAUCUUCUUAUUCAUGAAUUUCCAUUUUAAUACGUCUUCAAAUUAAAUUAUACAUUUUUUAAUUGGUAGAAUCUCACUUUUGCUGUUGCUGCAAUCUUUAACCAAAGAAUGGAGUGAUGUAUGUACUGAUAACAGUUCUAAAGGAUUUGUUUAAGCAAGUAAAGAGAUUGGCGUUUUUAUAAUAAUUUAGGAUAGGAAUGGAGCAAAUCCAAAGAAUGGAGUGGCAUUUUUAUAAUAAAUUUUUUUAUUUUUCGUGACCUUUACUAGCGUUUUUGGAGAAAGCGCCGCUAAAGGUCUUGUUUUUUAGCGGCAUUUUUGGGAAAAGUGCCGCUAAAGGUCUUAGUCUUUAGCGGUGUUUGUGGUAAAAGCGCCACUAAAGGUCUUGGUCUUUAGUAGUUUUUGUGGGAAAAGUGUCGCUAAAGGUCCUGGUUUUUAGCGGCGUUUGUGGGAAAAGCGUCGCUAAAGGUCUUGGUCUUUAGUGGCGUUUGGGGGAAAAGCGCUGCUAAAGGUCUUAGUCUUUAGCGGUGUUUGUGGGAAAAGCGCCGCUAAAGGUCUUGGUCUUUAGCGGCGUUUGGGGGAAAGCACCGCUAAAGGUCCUGGUUUUGAGCGGCGUUUGUGGGAGAAGUGCCGCUAAAGGUCAUGGUCUUUAGCUGCGUUUUUUCCGGCUAAAAAAGUGCCGCUAAAAGCCUGUUUUGGUGUAGUGAAUAUAAAAAUAAUAUAUAAUCUCAUUUAUUAUUUUUAAAUCGCAAUACAUAUUUAAUGUGCUAAAAUAUCAUUAGUGAAUCAAAUAAUUUAAUUAUUCUACAAAAAAAUAGAAGUAAUAAAUAACUUGAAAAUUAUAUUUUGCAUAAAUAUAAUAUUCAAAUAUUAACAAACAUACCCUAAAUCAAAUUUCAUGUAUAAUUUUAAAAUUUACCCCAAAGAUUUAGUGUACUUCUUGACCUGAACUUGACAAUUAAGUUUAUUUUAGUACUUGUAUAUUUUUUGUCCACUUUAAUAAUUGAACUUGACAAUUAGAUAUAUUUUAAUCUUUGAACUUGAAAUAUAUAAAAUUUUAUUGACAUAACACUUUAAGAUUGUCUCACAUCAUUAAAUUUGGACGGAAUAUAAAUUCAUAGUCAAAAUAGACCUACUUGUAAAGUUAGAUACUAAAGUAGACCCCAACAACAUAUAUAAGUAUCAAAAUGAAACUAGCUUACAAAGCAAAACUUCGUAUAAAAGAAGAUAAACAAAUUGUGCUACUUGAAGGGAACAACACUGGCACUGGAAAAACAUUCCGUGUUUGAGGACAUAAAAUCUCUUAAGCACUGCGUCCAGGUUAUGAGCUACUCACAGCAACACAGAUCGCUGGGAAAUAGUGUGCCAAAUUACCUUUUGUAUCUCUUCUUGGAACCACAUGGACAGGGAGCAUUACGGCUCAUUUCUCCACUCUUUACCAUAUUAAACUUGGUAAGAUCCAAUGGUGUUAAACCCGUUAGCUUUUGCACCUGCAAAAGAUAAAAAAAAACUAAUGACAUUUCCAAUGGAGAAAGAGAGAGAUGCAUAAACUAAUACUUGUCAUUGAUGUUUUAAACUGUGGGAGAAACAUUCAUCCGAACUCAAAUGCGAAUUUCAGCAACUGAAGAUGAAUGAAGGCAGACAUCUCAGUCUUUUAAGCAAUCUGGCAUUGAACCAAAAAAGCAUAACGCAGAUCAGCAGACCAAACAUCUGUAACUCUAUGUUAGUUCGACUCUUUCUUUUCCUUUAUGCAUCCAUGUUUGAUGCAAGUCUGGGACCAGAAUGAAUAUAGGGAGAUAAUCCUUUAAAAAUCCUCCAAAUACAUUAAAAAACUUGGACAAAAAAUGAACACAACACACCCGUGUCAAACAUAUAUAUCAGACACUCAAACUAUAGUCUGAACAACAAGAUAUACAAUCAUCAUUUUGACUCAGAUAAUAUGCAUAACUAACUCCCCUACCUUCUUAGACAAAUAUCUUACUUAUCUUUCAAAUAGCUCAUCCUACAUUCAACAUCAUAUUCACCGAGCAGCAGCCAAAAGACAAAAAUACAUUAACUUAGAGAAUUUAAGAUCAGACAAAUUGAGCAAUAGGCAUAAAGACACUAGCUCAUACGUUUUAAUCAUUCAACAUAUUAUCAGCAAAAACAUAACUGAAAAAAACCAGUGGUGAACCUACCACAGCAAAGUUCUUUGGCAUCGGUUUGCCUUCCUCUUUCAGCUUAACCAUCUUCUUAUGAACUUCUUUAGCCCAUGUGAACUUCGCAAGCGCAUUCUCAACAUAUAAUAAGGUACAAUCACACUGUUUUGCAGCUUCUUUCUUUUGACUCAGUUGGAGAUUCUAAAAAAAAAGUCAAAAUCUAAAUCCACAAUCAGCGAAUUCACCUACAGGGCUCCAACCAUGUUUUAUAGUUUGGACGAGAAAAGGCAGCACCUUCUUACAUGCAAUGUCAGUGGUCAACAGGACUGGAAUGCUCGCCUGUUUAUCAUGGUGGAAAUCAAAUUCUUAUAUAAAACAUAGUUAACAUUUCUCAGCAUAAAGCCUUCAUCUUUUGUGCAAACAAAUUUUAAAUUAACAGAACUCAACUAGUCGAAAUCACAAGCCAUUCAAAAAACAAUAGAAUCAGACAAACAUGUAAUAGAAUAAAAAUUUUCAUCUGUUCAAUCUGUUCAAUCGAACAAACAUUGAAAACAUUGAAAGAAUUUUCAUCUGUUCAAUCGAACAUGCAAUACAAAGAAAAGCUGAAUGGAAAACGCUAGAAACGAAUCAAAAUUAGGAGAACAAAAACAAAUAUUCCAGAUUUGAGCAAAAGCAAAACUAAAUCGAUUUUACAGAAAAGAGAAGAAAAGAAAAACAGGGAAAGAGUGUGAGAAUUUUUCGUUGUUGAUAAAAUGGAGAAAAGAAAAAAAACGAGAGAAGAAAAGAAAUGUACGAGAAUAAAAGAAGCAGAAAUCGAUGGAAGGGAAAAAAUUACCUUGCAAAACGUCGGAGAGGAUGAGCGCAGAAAACGAAAAAGAUGGUAACAAAUUGGGAGGGAAUCCCUAUUCCGCGCUUAAACAUCAGAAUGGCUAUUACAGCCAACGUGGGUAAUAGAUGCGGAACGGAACCAAACAUCCGUUUGGUGGUGGGCCUAGGGAAUUGGGGGGAAUGCAUACCGAUUCCCCCCAACCAAACAUACCUUGAGUUUGUUCUCUUAAGAGGAAAUGGUAAUGAGGUGUAAAAGCCAAGAGGAAAUGAUUAUCUUUACCGCUAGAAAUGAACAAGGUAUGUUAUUCAUAUUUUUCUCCGGAUGCAGGUUUUAAUUGGGCAAUAGUUUUACUUUUGUUAUAGCUAGAGGUUUUACUUGUCAUGCAUCUUACUGCAUUUGGUUAGUUUUAUGUUUUAUUGUUUUAUCUUUCUGGCAUUUUAUAUUUAGUUCUCCUAUUUUUUUAGACAAUUUCUGCAACAUUGGUUUCCUAUGACGUGAUAGUAUUUUUUUGUUGUAGUAGUGAUAACAUUUGUGGUUGGCAAGAUUCCUUUAACACGGUUUAUCUGGAAAGGUCUAUCUUUGGGUUGCUGAUAGUGUCACCGAGUGAAAUAAAUGCUAGUUGUGGCUCUUAUGAUUACAAACUAUUAGCUUAUUGGUAAAUUGAAUGUUCAGAUGUCAUGACUGAUGUAAAUUCACAUACUUUUAAACAUUGUGCAUCUUCUAAUUUUAUGAAUUUUAACAACAAAAAGUUUUCUAUACAUAAUGAUUAUUUGAUUACUGUAUGUUUGAUCUUGGAUUUCUGUUGCUAAACAUGAAUUGGAAUAAAAUGAAUGCUAGUUGUUCAUUUGAAUAACAAGAAUGAAAUAAAUGCUAGUCAAGGCCUCUAAAAGACUAAUUUAGUAAUUUGGCUGAAUUGAACCCUUAUAUCAUUAGGGAAUAUAACAGAAGAACUACUAAUAGUUUGAAUAGAACAUAAUGAACUGAUUAAUAAUACAUUUAAGAGGUAUGUUAGUAGCUGCUAGUCUCUAGUUCCUUGAGAGUUUGGUUGUUCAGAGUGUCGUCUAGGAUUGUAUUCUGUGCUGUCCAUGCAAGUGUAAUAAGAUUGACUAAGGUCUUUUCCCUUUGAAAUUGUUGAUCACUCAAUUAAGCUCAGUUGACCGGCUAUCAUGUCCUUGCUCAAUUAAGCUCUGCCAUAACUGCACGAAAGAACAACAAUUCCAUACACUCAUUACAAAGAAUACAAGUAGUGGAGUUCACGGACUAGACAAUUAAAGAGAACUUUACACAUGUAACCAAAUUCACCAAUAUGAGCAUUGAUAUCUCAUUUUUAUGAGAUCUUAUUAGAUUAUUGAUUAUGAAUAUGUUUACUCGAUCAUUUCAAGAUCAUGGUUUCAUUACAUGGAGUUGUUUGAUGGUGAAGGCAAUAAUACAUUUUUAAGAUUACUGCAGCCAAAAGAGUUGUUGCAAAGGAGACCAAAGUCCAGAACUCUUUUUCUUUUGUGCUUCCACAACUGAGUUCUCCAUUACCUCAACUUUCAGCUUCAAAUCUUGAGCUACUUGUCUCUUUCUGUCAUUGAUUGUUACUUUUAUGUGGUCUAAUAUUAGUUAUGCACUUGGACAAUGUUGUUGUUAUUAUGUGGUGUACUACUAAUUAUGCAUUUGGAUAAUAUUAUUAAUUUCUAGUAUUAAUUGUGGUUUGGAAGCUAAUUUAUAAUUAUUCAAUCCUUAUUUUUUAUUUUUUAACACAAUUAUAAAUAAUUUAUUUGACUUUGGUUGUUUUCAAUUUAUGACGGUUAAUAUUGUAGCUUAAUAAUUGAGUAUUUUGAUUUAUUUAUUUAUAAAUAAAUCAUUUCAAUAUAUGUAAAAAUAAUUUAAAAUAUAAAAAUUUAUUAAUAUGUAUAUAAAUUUAUUAAUAUAUGUAAAAACAACUUUUUCGGAAAAUAUUUUCAGGAAAUCUACCAAACAACAAAAAAUAUUUUACACAGAUUCAUCCAAACACUAGAAAAUAUUUUCAGUAAAUCAUUUUCCAGAAAAGUAAAUCAUUUUCAGGAAAUCAUUUUUCGAAAAACAUUUUACUGGCAAACAAACGAACCCUUAUUGCUCAUGGUCAUCAACCUAUAAACCCAAGAGCAUUAUUAGCUUCUAAAUCCAAAACACUAAUAUCAGCAUCCAACCCAACAAUGAUAGUCUUAUUGACUCAUUUAAACAAGUUUCCUUUGUCAAUCUAUAUUCUGUAUUUGGUAAUCUCCAAUAUGAUUUCAGAACAUACGAUAGUUGGAAGAAGAAUAGCAGCAAAGAUGCAAAGGGAAAUGACUUAUACGAGGAGGAAGAACCAUCUUUUGGGUGCAAACCUGUAUACCAUAUAAUAGGAUGUCCUGUAUAAUGUCACGAGAGCUAGUACCGUUGCCAAGCAGUAAUUACUAAUGCUAAUAUGAUGAACAGAAAAGGAUCCAGCCGUAAGAUAGUAUGGAUACUGAAAUGCGAGUGUCCGUAUGGAAACAGCAACUAAAAGCAUGUAACAGGUCCCAAAACAGGUCCCAAACAAGGAAAGUGUUAUGAGAAUCACUACACCAAAAUAGGCUUUUAGCGGCGCUUUUUUAGGCCUUUAGCAGCGCUUUUUAGCGCCACUAGCGCCGCUAAAAACGCCGCUAAUGACAGUGUCGCUAACUUUAGCGGCGCUUUUUCCACAAACGCCACUAAAGACCAAGACCUUUAGCGGCGCUUUUACCACAAACAUCACUAAAGACCAAGACCUUUAGCGACGCUUUUCCCACAAACGCCGCUAAAAACCAUGACCUUUAGUGGCACUUUUACCACAAACGCCGCUAAAGACCAUAGCUUUUAGCGGCGCUUUUCAAACAAACGCCACUAAAAAUAUAUCUUUUAAAAAAAUUAAUUUUUUUCAAAUAAUAUUUAUUUCUAUAAUAAAUAUUAUAUUAUGUUUUAAGGAUAAAUAAAAAAUAUUAUUUAAAUUAAAUUUUCUACAAAAAUUUUAACUUUAAAACUAAAUAUAAAUAUAAAAAUUAAUGAAUUUAAAUUUAGAAUUUAAAAUAAUAAAUUAAUAACACAAUUAAAAUCCAAAAGUUAGAACACUUAAGUAAAAAUAAAAAUUUAGAAUCAAAACUAAAAUAAAUGAUACAUAUGCAAGGUAAUAAAAUAUACAAUGCAUUUUCUUAAUCAAGUAAAUCUUGGUUACAAAACUAACACAGAAAAUAACACAGUAUACAGUAUGUUUUGUCUUUCACAUUUUAAAAAUAAUAAUAAUAGCAUGUUUGUUUGCAUGCUACCAUGAUCAAAACACAAAAAUGAAGUUCUCCACCUAAUACAAAUUUCUCCUACGAAUGUGCAGAAUCAGAUCUCUAGAUUCUCGGAGUUCUUCAUCUGGUGCUGUCUCGAUGGUUUUGAUUAUUGUGUCAUCUAGCUGGAUUCAAAAAAAAGAAUAGAAUGCAAAGCAUGUUAUACAUUUGGACUCCAAAUUUUUAGCAACUCAAAAGAAUGCUAAGAAUGUUGUCCAACCUUCCAGUACUCACAAGGAUCUUGAAUAAAAAUGAAAUCAGACCUCACCACUUCAUAUAAGAAGCCUACACAACUAAUUACACAAAAGAAAAAGAUGAGAAAAAAUAACAAUGUAAAAAAGACGUUUGAAUGAGAUAAUAUAGAACCCAGAGUUAACUCUGUGAAUACCUUCACUUUAGAGUGGGUGUACACAGUUCGAUAAAGAUCAGCACGAGUAGCAAAUAACUUGUGGAUACUAAGAUCUAGCAAGAGCACCCAUUACCAUUAUUAAGGAGUAAAAAAACACUAAAAGAACUAAACAUGUAUUUUGCAAGUAAAUGAAUUAGAUGAUACUAACAGUCUUUAGCACGAUAGCAGAUCUCAUCACCCAAAACUCGCAGUCUCCAUGAACCUGCAGGUGGUGUAGUAUGUAUAUUAAGUUUCACUUACUUAUCCACAUCAAUUCCAUUCUAACCAUUUGCAACAAUAUCAUAUAAGAAUUGCUUCUCCUUUGCACUCUUCAAAGUAAGCACAAAAUAGUGUAUGUGUUAGAUAAAGAAAAGAAACAAAGAAUGUUUGUACUUCAUACUGGAGCAAAAUAUAAAAAAUCCAGUGAUCAACAUGUGCCUACACUUAAAAUAUAAAAAAUCUAGUGAUCUACCGAAAUUAAACUAUUCAUCAAAAUGAUUGCAAUUAACUGAGUUAAAACAUGAUUUUUUUUCUUUUCUUGCAAAUAUCUAAAGUUUUUUAUACCUUCCCAAAUGGUGAAACAAGCUGGUGAAGUGCUGUAAUUCUGUCUCCUAAUUUUUCUUUCCUCACCUGCCAUAUAACAUAUAUAUGUAUAUAUACAAGUCAGAAAAAAAGAAAAAGUAGGUGAUUAAUUUACUAUUUUACUUUCACUUAAACUAUAUUCUCUUUUUCAUACAUUAAUAGAAUAUGAUAGUUACAGCAAAAAAAAAAGAAAAAGAAUCAUCCCUCUAGAAAUCGACAACCAAACAAGGACAACAGUUUUUACCACCCCACAUGUAUUUUGUGUAUGUGUAUAUAUAUAUAUGCUUGUGAGUGUGCGUGUGCGUGUGCGUGUGCGUGCAAUCUGUAUUGAGAUAAAAAAAAACAUAUAUUUAAUUAUAUAAAAAUUAUGAUAAAAGUAUCAUGGAAGUCCCUGUACUAAAAGGUGGAUUACAUUUUGCCCUUUUACUCAAAUGGUUUAAUUUAAACACUCAUUCAACAGCUAUUACCUAAAAUGCUACCACUUUUGAGGUAUAAAAUCAGUGGAAGUCUAAAUGAACAAAGUCCUAAGCCAAUCAAAACAAAGUCACCAAGAAAUGAAAAAACAAUCUGUUCUUAUCCUUUCGAAACAGUGACCAAAUACAAUGAAUUCAAAAGGUUGUCCUUUUCAUAUCUGCUUAUCAACCAAAUACGCAAUGAGAAAAAAAAAUCAUGAUCCGCCAGCAGAAAAGCUUGAAAUUUGAAUGGAUCAAAUGAAACAUAAAUCUAAUGUAAAACACACCUGGAGAAAGCUUAAAAGAAGAGCUUUGAUGAGAUUUUCUGGUGUGAGCUCUGGCUGACGCUGCUGAUAUCUUCCUUCUAACUUCCCCAUUAUCGUCCCUCAAAACCCAAUAAUCUGUAAAACGAAGACUCCCCCAAAUUACUUCAGAUGUCUCUCUUAAAUUCUAUUUAAAAAAAUUAAAAAUCUAUAAAAAAAAUCAGUUACUAUAAAAAAAAGAGAUAAGUGUGAAUUAAAAAUAUAAUCCCAAAUACUGAUUCAAUUGCAGACUGGGAUUUAUUUCUUACCUCAAAGGUACAGCAAUGGUUGUAACCUCUGUAACCUGUUUGUGAAACCUCUGUAACCUGUUUUACUAGUAAAGCCGAUAAUAAUCCAGAAACUGGUUGUAACCUCUUUGUAUUUGCCUGGGAAACCAGAAAUCUUCUCAUUAUCAGCAUAUGUUGAUUUUUUUUAUAAUGUCGCAGGGAGGGAGGGAGGGACAGAAAGCAAGAGAGACGGCGAAGAGUUUUAGGAGGGAAAAUUAGGGGUUUCGGGGAAAUUUGGGGCUAAAAUGGGGGGAGAAUUUUUAAAAGUGAAAUUAGGGUUUUUAGAGGGAAAUUUUGGGAUAAAACGGCGCCAAGUGAAAUUAUUUUUGCGACGUUUUAAAAAAAAAGCCGGGAAUGUACCUUUUGUGGAUUUUUUUUGAAAACGUCACUAACAAAUUUAAAUUCUUUUAUUGAAAUGACGUCGUUUUGAGAAAUAUUAAUACAUAGUAACGGCGUUUUUUGCUAAAAACGCCGCUAAAGCUCUCAUAUUUUUUAUAUUCAAUUAUUGUAUCUUUCAUAUAAAUUAUACAUAAAAGAAUUAUUAAAAUUUUAAGUAAUAUUUAAAAGAAUUAAAUAAUAUUAUAAAUUUAGUUUUCUUAUUUCAUUUUUAUUUUUGUAUUUUUUUCUUAUAAUUUGGUCCUAUCUAAAUUAAAUAAUUACCUAUAUAUCCAUAUCAAAUAUAUCAAAUGGUUUAAAUUAAAUAUUUUUAAAUAUAAAAGCAGUAAUUAAUUGUAUAAAAUUGUAUCAUUUAACAAAUCUCAAAUAAACCUUAAACCCUAAAUUAACCAUUCAAUAUACAUAAAGUCUAUCUAUUAUAUAUCUCUUACAUAAUAUAAACUAUACUCAUAAUUUCAAUAUAUUAAAUUUAUUAUUAUCUCUUUUACAAUUAUAUAAGAACAUAUUUAAUAUAUAAAUUAAAAAAUCAAUUAAUCUAAACCCUAAACCUUAACCCGACCCUUGAAACCCUAAAUCCCUAACUCCUAACCCCUAACUCUUAACCCCUAAACCUUAAAUCCCAACCCUUAAACCAUAAUCCCUAAAUCUAUAUAUAAUCCCCGAACCUUAAAAUAGUAACUCCUAAACUGGCUUUAAAUAUUAAAUUAACCAUAUACCGUAAACCAUAUAAACCCUAAACUAUAAUGAUAAUUAAUUAAAUAUUUUAAAAUUAAUACUAUCUUAUCUUUUUCAAUUAUAUAUGAAAUUAUUUAAUAUAUAAAUUAAAAAACAUCAAUAAAAUAUAAAUUAAAAUGCUUUUUUUUGGAUAAUUUAAUGAAUAUGGCAGGAUUAACUCUAAACCCCUAACCCCUAAAUUCUAAACUUAGCCCUAAACCUUAAACCCCAACCCUUAAACCAUAAACCAUAAACAAUAAUCCCUAAACUAUAAUGAUAAUUAAUUCAAUAUUUUAAAAUUAAUACUAUCUCUUUUACGAUUAUAUAAGAUAUUUUUAAUAUAUAAAUAUCAAACACGUCAUAGACACUUAAAACUUUGAGAUAGUUAUACUAUUUUUUAUUUCACUUAUAGGAACCUCAUACACUCAAGCACUGCAAGUCUUUUGUGAAUUAACCAAUGGUUAUGAAGAUCUACUACUUACGGUUAUCAAUGCCAGCUGGAAUCACAAAUAUUAACAAGAAUCAGACAUAGAUAGCAAAAUUAAUCAAGCACUUUCAAGGGACAUUCUAGCAGUUCUUUAAAGAAAUGGAUUUCAAUCCAAAAUUCAACAGUUCUGUAACUAGCCUAGCAGACAGAUGGAAAAAUAAUAUUUAUUUUAGAGAUCAGUCUACCUCUUAAGUGGAAUAACUUUCUAUAAACUUUAACCUUGUGAACUUUUUUAUUAAUAUAUUUCUUCUAAUACUUCUUAGAGAUAAUCACAGUCAAGAGAUUCAACCAUUAAGAUUCAAUGGAUGGUUAAUAUAAGACCAAACAAAGACAAUGCAUCUAAUUUAAUAAGCUCAGCAGUGCUCACGAAUAAAGCAAAACAGUGUAUAAGAAAUUAUUUAGUAUGUAAAUUAAAAAACACUCAGUAAUGUACCCAAAAAACUUAAAAACUAUUUUAAAUAAUAGUAUUUUAAAUCAUGUACCCAAAAAACUUAAAAAUAUUUUUUGCGGCGCUUUUUAAAAAACGCCGCUAAAAAUAGAGCAUUAGCGGCGCUUUAUCAAAAACGCCGCUAAAGACCAGAGCAUUAGCGGCGCUUCUUCAAAAAUGCCGCUAAAGACCCGAGCAUUAGCGGCGCUUCUCCAAAAACGCCGCUAAAGACCCGAGCAUUAGUGGCGCUUAUUCAAAAACGCCGCUAAAGACUCGAGCAUUAGCGACACUUCUUCAAAAACGCCGCUAAAGACCCGAGCAUUAGCGGCACUUCUUCAAAAAUGCCGCUAAAGACCCGAGCAUUAGCAGCGCUUUUCGAAAAAUGCCGCUAAAGCCCUGAAAAAUCAAAAAACGAUGUCGUUGUGCUUGGGUUUUUUGCGACGCUUUUUGAAAAAUGCCACUAAUGUUCAUUUUUAGCGGCGUUUUCCAAAAAACGCCGCUAAUACUGGAUCUUUAGCGGCGUUUUUCCUAAAGCGCCGCUAAUGCUUGAUUUUUAGCGGCGUUUUUUGUUCAAACGCCACUAAAAACGCCGCUAAAAGCCUAUUUUGGUGUAGUGAAUAAACAAGUAGAUUGAACGGCUGGGUAGGAGAUAGGCUGUUAAAACAGUUGUUGCCCAAAAGGUUAAAGUGUUGUAUAACCAAAACAUUGUGCACACGUUUAGUAUAGGUUCUAUUUUUUUUUCUUCAGCGGGUGGAGGACUUGGUACGGGUCCAGUGCUGGUUAAACCUAAAGAUGCGUCAUACUUGAGUUGGAAAUUCUGGGAAUUUGAAAUGGUACCAGGCUGCUUUGGAGGGUUCAAAGUGGCAGUGUAUGUGGCUGUUAUAAUUAGCACUGUGACUACUAAAAAUGUGUUACGCAUCUCAUGUGGGAUUCCCUUUGUUGACACCAUUUUUUUUAUAAAACAAGGUCGACUUGGGUUUUAAAAAUGAAAACAAACACGAGAGUCGCCACCAAUCCUUUUUGAUAAGGUGUGAUCGGGCCACCUUAAAAGUGGUUAUUUUUAAUAAACAAUUUAAUUUUAUUAAAACAACGAUUUCGGUCCACGAAAUUCAAAAAAUCGGUUCAGGAGUCGUUUACGUACGAGGAAUGAUUAGCACUCUCGUAACGCCCAAAAUUGGUACCUAGUUGAUUAAUUAACGUCUUAAUGUUGAAGGUCGAAAGAUUUUAAAAUACGAUCCUUAUAUUAAAAACUUGGAUAAAUCAAAUUAGCCGUUAGGACCCUCUCAUUUCAGAGAGAGAAAAUAUUAUACCCAAUGAGUUAGGGCAUGAUAUUUCACCUCUUCAAAAAUGUGCUUGUCUAAACAACUCGUACAGUAAAAUUUAAAAGGAUAUUCAAUUGUUUAAGUCAGGUGAAAAAAUUGUAGCCCAAUACGUUAGGGCACAAUUUCUCAAAAUUCUAAACAUUGAAUAUUGCCUUUAUUUAUUUUUUAGAAAAAUUCACGUCUCGAGAAAACAACGUGUCAUAUCCAAUGCGUUAGGAUUCAACGUAUUGAAUUCCCGAUAAUGAGUUUUUAUUUAUGUUUUUGAUUAAAGAGCAUUCUCGAUUAUUUAGAUUCAACGAAGAAAAUUAGAACCCAAUACGUUAGGGCUCAAUCCUCUCGAAAAUCCCAGAUAUUGAGUAUUGCUAUUAUUUUAGAAAUUUUCCUUUUUUCCAAAUCUGAGUAAAAAUUGAUGUAAUGGAAUAACAAUUAUGAUAAUAUAAGUAAAAAUAAUAAGAGCAAAAACAAAAAGAUAAAUAAAUAAGAAGACAAAUAUUAAUAUAUAAAAAAAUCAUUCAUGUAUACACAAUAAACAAGUAAUAAGCAAAUAAAAGUGAAACAUUCUUUUAAAAUAAUAAUGAAAGCGUAAAUAGAUAAAUAAAUAAAGAAAAUGAAUAAAAUUAUAAGAAUGUAAAAAGAUAUAUGUAUGUACAUAUAUAUAUAAAUUAUAAGAUAUAAUAAGAAAUAUAUAUAAGCAUGUAUAUAUAUAUUUAUAAAAAUUAAAAAAUAUGUAUAUAGAUAUAUAUAUGCAUAAAAAUUAUAAAUUAUAAAAUAUAAAAAAAAUAUAAGAAUGUAUAUAUAUGUAUAAAUUAUAAAUAAGUUAUAAAAAUAUGUACGGGUAUAGGUAUAUAUAUAUUAUAAAAAUGUAUGUAUGUGUAUAUAUAACAAUAUAUGCAUGUGUAUAUAGAUAACAAAAUUUGAAGUUUAAAAAGUAUAGAUAAUAAUAUUAAUGAUGUAAUAUAAUAAUAAUAAUAUAUUAAAAUGAUCAAUUUAAUAAUAAAUAACUAAAAUACCAAGCAGAGGACUAAAUCGAAACUAAACAAAACUUUAGGGCCGAAAUCAAAAAUGAAGAGUAGAGAAAAGGACUAAAUCAUAACGCGUCUGAAAGGAAAAGGACCAAAAAAGAAAUAAACCAAGUCACCCAAAACGCAGCGUUGCAAUGGACUAAAAUGAAAUCAGUGAGAAAUUAUGCAGUCCAAUUUGAAGAAUAAAAAAAAUCAAAUUAAAACAAAGUGCAAAGGUGGAGGGCUUAAUGCGCAAAUAUCCCUCCAAAGUAAAAAAACACGCGGAUCCUUCUCAGGGUCGGGUCACUGCGCGGGUCAGGGCUAAAACGGCAUCAUUUUGGCUCCUGACCCUAAACAGCAAAACGCCGCCGUUUAAUAACCUUUAUUUAAAACAUAUUUUUUCUUAGAAAAAAAAUCAUUUUUUAGGGUUUUAGAAUAAAAUUGCAGAGGAAGAAACUCUCCUGUCGUCAGCCGAAUGGGCCACCAUCGGCCCCGCCGUGGGCGGUGGGCAGAAGGCCAAAAGUUGGGUUUUUUAAACCCCGCUUCAAGGGCCGUCUGAAGAUCGAGUUUUCAUGACCCUAAGGCCAUAGGAAGAAACCCCAAACGUCGCCUUCCCCAUCCGCUUUCGGUGACUCGAAGGACUCCGGUGACGACACUUACACGGCGAUUCAGGUAUGUUUUCCUUUCUCUUUUUAUUCUAUUUAUUUCGUAUGUAAAAAAAAAGAAGAAAUGGACCGAGAGAAAAAGCCAAUCGGAAAAUGUAAAAGGAAUCACCUUUAAAACUGUUUUCUUUUUUUAUUUCUUGAAUGUUCGUGGAAAAAAAAAGAAAAAAGACCCCCUUACAGAUGUAAAGAUCGGUUUUUAAAUCGAUUCUCCCCCCAAAAAAAUACAAAAAGUUUUUUUUUUAUUUCUUUCUAUUCUUCCUGUCACUGCUUCGGUUGCUUUGCAAGUACUUGAUGGUGGCAAGUGGCGGUGGGUAGGUGACAGAGGGCAAGUGAGCGGCGAUGUGACAAUGGCGGCUAAUCAGGGCAAGUGGGCGACAGAGGCUGCGACGCUAGGCUAGGGUUUCAGAAAAUUGAAACCCUAGUUUGACUGGGUUUGUUGGGCUGGUUUUUGGUCUGUAUUUGGGUUGUUUGUUUGGGCCAAGUUUGGGUUGAUAUGGUUAUAAUGGGCCCUUUGUAAUUUUUUGGGUUUGCCUGGGCAAAAUUCGGCUGUACACCCUUCUUUCCACGACUUGCUAUUGUUGCAAAUUUUUGAAGACUGACACCUUUCCUUUUAAAGAUUCGAUGUGGAAUGAAGAGAUGGAGGCUUUGGGAAGCGAGGAAGAGGAACCACUCAAACCUCCUGCUUUGCUUAUCAUGUCUUUAAUGGACUCCUUAUCGUCCACUCUCCCUUCAUCCAAUGGGUAUUGUGAUGGGAUAUCAAGUGCAGUCAAUCCCUUAGCAUUUUUGCAUUGAUAUGGUCAGCACACAAGCGUUUCAACAGUAAUUUUACCACCUGUUAAUUAGAAUAUUCAUACAAGUAACCUUUGAGUAUAUAUAUACAUAAAUAAUUUCACUUGCAAAAUUAUCAUACCUUAGGUCUGUUUCUGAUAGCAGCAACAUGUAAAACAAUGUUGCCAUCAAUGUCUGCCCAACUCAGAAGUUCUUUCUCCCAACAGUUGGCAGCUUUAUGGCGGCUCCUUAUAAGCCACCCCACCAAGACUUGGAAAGCUUCAAACCUGUCAUUUUUUACAUGAUUCUUUACAUGUUUUUGGUUCCACUGCAUAUUAUCAUGUAAAAGAAUCUAAGUUAGACCCAAGAGCAAAGAAAGCAUUAUUCAUGGGUAUAACUGGUGGAGUAAAAGGAUACCGUCUCUGGUGUCCUGAUACAAGGAAAAUUAUUUUCAGUAGAGAUGUGACUUUUGAUGAAUCAACCAUGAUGAAGAACAAUGAUUCACAAAAGGAUAACACAACCAAUGGCACUUUGCAGCAGGUGGAGCUUGAAAAGGUUAAUGAUGAUCCAGCUAAUAUUGAAGGAACAAAUGAUGAAGAAGUUUCGACCCAAGAACUUCUACAGCAACAUGAUUCAAUUGCAUAUAGAAGGCCAAGAAGAGAGAUUUGUAUGCCUGCUCGCUUUAAUGAUAUGGUGGCCUAUGCACUUCCAAUUACAGAUGAUGAUGUUCCUUCUACUUACACAGAAGCAAGAAGUAACCCUGAUGGUGUAAAGUGGAAGCAAGCUAUGAAUGAAGAAAUGCAGUCUCUUCAUAAAAAUAGGACUUGGGAGUUGGUGACACUACCCAAAGGAAAGAAGGCAAUUGGAUGCAAAUGGGUAUAUUCAAAGAAGGAAAGAUUUCCUGAUAAAAAUGAAGUUCGAUACAAGGCUAGAUUGGUAGUAAAGGGUUACGCUCAGAAAGAAGGAAUAGACUACAAUGAAGUAUUUUCUCCAGUUGUGAAGCAUUCGUCUAUUCAGAUUUUGCUAGCCUUGGUUGCGUAAUAUGAUCUUGAACUAGUUCAGCUCGAUGUGAAGACCACAUUUUUACACGGUGAUUUGGAAGAGGAAAUCUAUAUGACUCAGCCAGAUGGAUUCAAGGUUACUGAUAAAAAAAAUUGGGUUUGCAAACUGACAAAGUCACUUUAUGGAUUGAAACAAUCUCCGAGGCAGUGGUACAAGAGAUUUGAUCAGUUCAUGAAAGGGCAAAGGUAUACAAGAAGUAAAUUUGAUCAUUGCGUGUAUUUUUAGAAGCUACAAGAAGGAUUUUUCGUAUACUUGCUCUUAUAUGUUGAUGAUAUGUUGAUAGCAUCUAAGAGUAAAGUUGAAAUUGAGAGAUUGAAGACUCAACUCAACCUUGAGUUUGAGAUGAAAGAUCUAGGUGAAGCUAAGAAGAUCCUUGGCAUGGAAAUAUGUAGGGAUAGAGCUCAUGACAGAGUUAGUUUGUCUUAGAAGCAAUAUUUAAAGAAGAUACUACAGAAGUUUGGCAUGAACGAGCAGACUAAAGUUGUAAGUACCCCGUUGGCUUCUCAUUUCAAGCUUUCUACACAACUCUCUCCUUCGACAAAUAUGGAACAAGAAUACAUGUUACAAGUUCCGUAUUCUAAUAUGCAAUUGUGUGUACAAGACCCGACAUUUCACAGGCAGUUAGUAUAGUGAGCAGGUAUAUGCAUAAUCCUGGAAAAGGACAUUGGCAAGCUGUGAAAUGGAUUCUACGGUAUAUUCAUAAGACCAUGGAUAUUGGAUUACUGUUCAAGCAGGAUACUACACUUGGUAAAGGUGUUGUUGGGUACGUUGAUUCUGAUUAUGCCGGUGAUUUGGACAAACGGAGAUCAACCAUUGGUUAUGUGUUUACUCUUGCUGGAGGACCAAUAAGUUGGAAGUCUACACUGCAGUCUACAGUUGCGUUGUCAACCACAUAAGCUGAAUACAUGGCUGUAACAGAGGUUGUAAAGGAAGCUAUUUAGUUACAAGGUAUGGUUAAAACCUUGGGUUGGUUCAGGAGCAUAUUAAUGUGUAUUGUGAUAGUCAAAGUGCUAUUCAUUUAGCAAAGAAUCAAGUCUAUCAGGCACGUACAAAGCAUAUCGACGUACGUUUCCAUUUUGUGCGGGAAAUUAUUGAUAACGGGAAAAUUCACCUUCAGAAGAUUAAGACUGCAGAUAAUCCUGCAGAUAUGAUGACCAAGGUGGUAACAACAAUCAAGUUCGAACAUUGUUUGAACUUGAUCAAUAUUCUGCAUGUUUAACACUUGAAGAAUCCACUAUCAAGUGUUGUUGACAAAGGCAGAGAGAAUUGUGUGAAGAUAAGAUUACUCGAAUCAAAUCUUCAAGGUGGAGAUUAUUGGGAAUUAUCCAUAUUUAUGGAAAAUCAAAGAUAUGGGUAUCAAAUAAUAGAAAUUCAAAGAUAUGGGUAUUAAAUAUUGGAAAGUCAAAGAUAUGGGUAUCGAGAUAUUGGCAUCAUAAAAUUUGAGAUAUUUGCAAUAUAUGGUCUCUAAUUGUAAAGUGACUUUGCAAGUUGAUCCCUGAACCUCAACUAUAAAUAAGCAUGACCAUCUCUCAUUCUGUAUCUCAAACUUGCCAUUCUUUACUUAAGGCAUUGUUUUCUCUCUCUCUCUCUUUGUAAAUUCUCACUUGUAUUUUGGAGUGAAAUAUAUUUGGUAGUGGCCGAGGAUGUAGGCAAAAUUUGCUGAACCUCGUUAAAUUAUUGUGUUCUUUAUUGUAUUAUUCUGCAUGAAUUGUGUGUGUGAUUGUAGUGAUUUAUUGUGCCAUUAAAUUACGAUUGAGGGAUAUUCUGGCUAAGGAAGACCUGGUACUUAAGCGAUCCUUGUGAUCCACCUCUCUUUCCUGGGAAUUGAACUUAGUGUGAUUUUUUAGUACAAAAAUUUUACUCUUUUACACGCUUCCGCACAACAUCUUUAAUGAUAAAAGCUUAAAGAAUAAUCUUUAAAAUUUGGUUGUUGGUAGCUUUAUUUGGGUAGAAUUUGAGAUUUAGUUCAUAUAUUUUAAAUGUUAAAAUUUUAAUUUUUUUUACUUUUUCAAUUUAAUAUUGUAAAAUAAAACCAUAAAAAAAAUUGUGUACAAAUAGUAUUGAAUUUACAUAAAAAUAUAUAAAAAAUGCAGCAUAAAUUUGAAUAAUAAUACAUGAACACUUAAAAUGAUAAUAUAUGAAAAAAAACUUAAGAUAAUAAUAUACGAUAAAUUUAAACAAUAUUAAUAAUGAAUUUAAAAUAAUAUUAAGCAUAAAUAUUAAAAUAAGGUUAGAUUUAAAAAUAUAUAAAAAUAAUGGAAUAAUAAAUACUUAAAUAAAUUAGAAAAAUAAGCAAAUUAAAUCAAGCUAAUAAGGAUUAAAUUGGAUUUAAAACAAAAUUAGAAGGCAAAAACGUAAAUAAAAUAAAAUAAAGGACCCAAUUGAAAGGCGCGAAUAACUCAAAGGGACCAAAUGGGGAAAUAUCCCCGCCUUUUGAAAUGCAUCGUUUCACCAGGACCAAAUCAGAAACCAAAUAAAAUUUAAAGUAUCAAUUGAAGAAAAUAAAAAAAAUUGAAUUAAAAUAAUAAAAAAUACGGAGGGGGCAAAUGCAUAAAUAUCCUUACCAAGACCAGAACAGGCAGAUCUAGCUGCCUCUGGGUCGAGUCAUCGGGUAUAGUCAAUACGGCACCGUUUUGGAGCCAUUGAAACAGACUUUAAAUGGUGCCGUUGCAUGGCCUUUAUAAAACAAAAAAAAAAAGAAAAAUAAACAAGUUUUUAGCCAUUUCGAAUCAGAUAAAAACCUUAGCCACACGCCGUUUAGAAGCCUGGCCAUUCAAAGGCCAAUCGAUCCCUGUCUGAACUUCGAUUGCGACAGAGUGAGCAAGGAUUCGACACCACCAAGUAAUUUUCUCACCUUAAAUCGUUUUUUUCUUUUUUUACACAUGAUGAGUAAACAAAUAGAUGAGUCUAGAACAGAAAAGAAAAACAACGAAAAGAAAAAAAAAGGUUUCAAAUCACCUUUAGAAAAUUCUGAUUCUUUGAUUUUUCGUCCCCUUUUAUAGAUUUUUAAUUGGCUUUUUAUAGCCGAAACGAAAAAAAGAAAAUAUGUAAAAAAGAAAUCUAUUAUGUUAUCUAGCUAUUUUCAUUUGCUGGCAUAUUGUUGCUCGCUUUUUACUGUUAUUCGUUUCUGUUUCAGGUGUACGAAGGAGCGAUGACGUGGAGGUGCAACACGCGUGGAGGCCUGGUUCCCAGCUGCGGCGUGGACUGUUCCAAAAACCCUAGGGGUUUCUGGAGAUUUCAAAUUGGGCCACUUCAAAUCGGGCUAGGGUUUAAUUAAGUCUAGGAUUGUAUUAGGUCUAGGAUUGGGUUAGAUUUUGGGUUUAGGCCUCAAUCCGAAUUUGGCCUAUUGUAACUGAACUUUUGGACUUAUUAAUGGUUAUUUUGGGUAUUGGGCUAUUAGGGUUUGUUGGGUUUGGGUUUUAGAUAUUUGGGCUGAUUUGUGUUUGUUUAUUUUGGGUUGUUUGUGUAAUUCUGGAAUUUUUAUUUUAUUGGACUUUUAUUUUUUGAUUUGGUUUUUUUUUUGUGUGGGCUCGAGCAGAUUGGGCCUGCUACAAUAUUGAUGCAAAACUUUGUCACUAAAGUGCAAAUUGUAACAAUAGUUAAGUAGUCUUUUGUUCGAAUAACAUUAGAAGCACAUCAAAGUCAAAGCACAUAGACUUUAAGUUCAUUGUUGUUAAAAUAAAAGUUUAGGGUGGUUAGAUGUCUAUAAAGUAUAUUGAGACAAACUCCAUGGUUGUGGAUUCGCUUAUUAAGGGACUACCACCCAAAGCUUUUUUCCUGAGCACACUGUUGAUAUGUGUGUAAUGUCAUUCAAGGAUAUUUGAUUUUAGUAGGAGUUUGUACUUUUAAACGUUUUUAUGUUAUAAAUACAUUUUCAAUUAUUUUAGUUUACAAAUAUUAAGUUUUUUUUUUGUAGAAAGAAAGUUUAUUUGGUAAAGUUUGAUCUCACUAAGAUUAAUGUGGACCGGUUAGAAUAUGCAUGUUUGAAUCAUAUUACAUGUAAUUUUCAUGUUACACAUCCAUACUUAAUCUAUGUCAUUUGGUUGUGCUAAUAUAUGUGAUUAAGGCUGGAUUUAGUUAUGAUAUAUGUAACAAAGUUGCAUUCUUUCUAUGUUAACAUAAUUAAUGGACAGAUUGUUCGAAAUGCCUUUUAGAUACGAUAGUAAAAUUUUGAGCUCAUAAGGUUAUAUAAUGACAUGUAAUUAUAAGGUAAUCGGUAUAUAUAUAUAUGUCAUCCAAGUGGUAUAUAUGGACAUCACAUAUAUAAUAAGCAUGUUACAUGUUAUUAUUUACUAUCAUAAAAGAUUAACUCAAAUUAAAAGUGACCUAAUUUGGUUAAGAUUUAUUGGAUUUUAGUUAUUAAAUAAAAUAUAGGUCAAUAAUAUGUGUAGAUACUCUAGUAACUAAUUUCUAAUUUAUGAUGGGCUGAUUAGAAAUUAGGUUAAUGUGAAAAUGUUAUAUAUUAGGAUUUUAGUCUCCAAGUUACGCAUAUGUAACUUUUCUAAUAUCCCAUCUUGAGAAAAGAGAGAGUCACCUUCUUUAGAUUACUUGUGAGCUAAUUUGGAAGAUCAAAACCUUAAAAUUCGUAGAUUUCAAGAAAUCGGUAAAUUCAAAUACGCUUCUGCAUUUAGUUUUGUUCUUAAUUAUUUGACAUGAUAGAUUCUGAUUUAUUAAGUUUUGUAAAAGAGUUUUACGGUUUUAAUAGGAUAAUUACGAAUCCCAAAUAUAAACUGUAAAACGGACAUGAAGAAUAUAAAAGAAAUAUUACAAGAAUUUUGAAAGAGAAAAUUAAAUUGAAAAUUUUAAUGUUAUUUUUAUCUUUCAUAAUUAUUUUUAUUUAUAUUUUAUUUACAAGAACAUUUUAUUAAGAGUUUAUUAGGAUUAAGUUUAUUUUUACUUUUAUUAAAUAAAUGUUAGACUAAAAAUAAACUUUUUUUUCCACUGUUGGUAUAAUGGAUAGUAGGCUAGGUUGUCCUUUUUUAUUUGUUUAGGCACCCGUGUAUGAGAAUAAUUUAUAUUAGAAUAGUCCUAAAGGUUAAAGAUUUUAAUAUUAAUAAAAUUUUGUCACAUCAUUAAAUUUUAAAAAUAUAAAAUUAUUAUUAUACAUUCGUUCAUAUUAAAUUUACUUUUUAACUUUCGUUCUUCUUAAACAUAAAUAAUUAAAAUAAAAAUAGAAAAAUAGAAUAUUUAAAAUUUAUACAAUCCUUAAAGAUUUAAUCCAAUAUUUUUUUUUGUUUUAAAAAAUGUAUAAUAUGAAAUAGAAAAAAAAAUUAAAAUGGAAAAACUCCAUUGCCUAUAAACUAAUUUUUUUUAAAAAAUUGGUUACAAAAAUUAAAAAUAUUAACUUCUGAAAAAAAACUAAAAAUGAUUAAAAUUUAUAAAAGAAGAAAAGAUGUUUAUUUAUAAUUUAAAAAAAUUAAUUAUUUUAAGUAAUUUAAUUAAAGUUAAAUUAAGUUAAGAAAAAGGAGAAAUGGAUAAGUAUAUAAUAAUACAUAAUUUGUUAAAUAUAUAAAGAAAUUUAUUUGAUUUAGUACCUAAAUAUUAAUAUUCGAAACUCUCGAUUUUUCACAAUUUAUUCAAUCAAAUUUAGAUCCAACUUUAAUUAUAUUACAAAGACAUUCUAUUUUAUUAUUUUAUUAACGGGUGAAAAAACUUAGUUCAACCCAUAAACAUUGACCACAAAGGGAAAUUUGAAACACUUACCACCAAUCCCCUAUCAGAAAGUCUUUCCCACAUUCAACUAGAAAUCAGAGCUCACCAAAAUGUUUAUUCUUUUCAAUCUGAACCGACUCUACAAUCACUUAUUGCUCAUGGUCUUCAGCCUAUAAACCCAGAAGCAUUAUUAACUUCUAAAUCCAAAACACUAAUAUCAGCAUCCAACCCUACAAUGGUAGUCUUAUUGACUCAUUUAAACAAGUUUCCUUUGUCAAUCUAUAUUCCAUAUUGGGUAAUCUCCAAUAUUAAUUCAGAAUUUAGGAUAGCUGGAACAAGAAUAACAGCAAAGAUGCAAAGCGAAACGACUUGUAGGAGGAGGAAGAACCUUCUUUUGGGUACAAACCUGUAUAGCAUAUAAUAGGAUGUCCUGUAUAAUGUCACGAGAGCUAGUACCGUUGCCAAGCAGUAAUUAGUAGUGCUGAGUUUAGAAUAGGAAACGGAUCCAGGAGUCGAAAGAUAGAAAAAAUACUGAAGUGCGAGUGUCCGUAUGGAAACAGCAACCAAAAGCAUGUAACAGGUCCCAAACAAGGAAAGUGUUAUGAGAAUAAACAAGGACAUUGAACGGCUGGGUAGGAGAUACGCUGUUAAAACAGUUGUUGCCCAAAAGGUUAAAGUGUUGUAUAACCAAAACAUUGUGGACACGUCUAGUAUAUUUUCUAUUUUUUUUUCUUCAGCGGGUGGAGGACUUGGUACGGGUCCAGUGCUGGUUGAACCUAAAGAUAUGUCAUACGUGAGAUGGAAAUUCUGGGAAUUUGAAAUGGUAUCAGGCUGCUUUGGAGG